UUUGAUAUAAUGAGAGCAACUACGAACAGAGCAGGGAGGAAGAGUAGGAGGAAAAGAUCAACUUUAAACAGAGACAUGAGGUGGGAGGGAAAGGGAGAGAAAAGGGAAAUUGCAUGGAAAUGGAAGGAGACCCUCAUUGUUAUACAAAAUUACAUAUAAGAGGUUGUGAGGGGGAAGGGGAAAAAAAAACAAGGGAAAGAAUUAAAUUACAACAGAUGGGGUAGAGAGAGAAGAUGGGAGGGGAGGGGAGGGGGGAUAGUAGAGGAUAGGAAAUGUAGCAGAAUACAACAGUUACUAAUAUGGCAUUAUGUAAAAAUGUGGAUGUGUAACCGAUGUGAUUCUGCAAUCUGUAUUUGGGGUAAAAAUGGGAGUUCAUAACCCACUUGAAUCGAAUGAAUGAAAUAUGAUAUGUCUAGAGUUUUGUAAUGCUUUGAAUAACCAAUAAAAAAAUAAAAAAUAAAUAAAUUUCAUAAAUUAAAAAAAAAAAGUGUUAAAAGUUGAAGUACCGAAUCUGAAAUUCAUAGGUCAGGUCAACAGGCUGUAAAUUACAGGCUUGAGGCAGAAUUCUUUAAUUCCUGAGUAACUGAUUUUUGUUCUUAAAGCCUUCAACUAAUUGGGUAAGAUCCAUCCUCAUUAUGGAUGGCAAUCUGCCUUUAAGUAAAAUGAUUAUACACACACACACACACACACAUAUACAUACAUAUGUUUAUAUAUACAAAAUAUGUAUUAUAUAUAUGAUUGUAUAUAUAAAGUAUAUACAAACACACACACAAACGAAGUACCCAAACAGCAUCAUCUAACAAAUGUUAGUCAGUACACAACUAAAUACCAUAUUCUAGUAAACUUGAUAUACAAAAUAAGCUAUCACAAUAUUUAUCUCUUGAUAGUGGAAGAUAGGAUUGUAUUUAUUUGUAAAAAUGUUUUCACCUUUUAUUUUGGUUUUCCAGAUUUUCUAAAAUGUGCAUGCAAUAAUUUCUAAUUUUAAAAAGCCAAUAAGCAUUUUUUAUUAAAAUAUUGAUAUAGAUGCUAUAAUAGUCUAAAGUAAAUAAAACAAUAUGGUAGAGAUGAAUGAAAUAUCAAUAUCUGUAGAAAAGCAAGCAAACUAAAUAUCAAUUGAUUUCUAAUUUGAAACACUAUCUUUAUGCAGUCCAAAAAUCAGUCUUUUUCCCACAGUUAUCAGUAAUAAAACAAAUCUGAUGUGAUGGUCUUUGAGUUGCUUUCUGGCCUUCUGAAGAAUACUUCUCCUUUUUGGUUAAAAGCAGGAUAAAAUUAUAUUACUCUCCCCUUAAAUAGAAAGCAGUUUUAAGUUAGCUAAAGAUUCUAAAUAAUUCAGAUUAUUAUUAGACUGUUUCCAUAAUGUGUUCCAUUUUAUUCAUUCUAAAAUGAUGUGCUGGUUUUUCCCAACAUUAGUUGUUAAAAAUCAGAAACAGAUUAAAGUCUGGGAAACUCUUGUUCCCACCAACUCAUUUCCCACCAGUUUUAUUAUAGAGGGAGUUAAUCCGUCUAGGGUGUGUACAGUGUUUCAUGGAACAACUUUGAAAUCCAAUGAAGUCAUUUUGUUGCCAUUCUCAGAGUUGCAAAAAUAUGGCUUAUAAGAAGAAGAAAUUGUAAGAUUCCCUUAUCAUGGGAAAAUGACAAUGUUUAGGCACUUUGUGACUGUCACUGUGGUCACAAGCUCUACAAUAAUCUUCAGAGCAUUUAUAAGCUUUUAGUUACAUGUACUGGUAUGUUCUUUUAGCAGUUUCAUCAAUUAACUCCUCAUCCACACUAUCAUAGUUCCUUUACGUAGAACCUUCUUUGAUUACUUUGGAAGUGUAGUCUGUGCUUUUGAAAAACACGUAGUUCUAACAACUUGAUGAUUUUCUUCACCUUAAUAAUAAAUUCCUCAUACAUACUAUGAAAAAGAAUUUCUCAUAAUCCCUUCGAUAUUACCUCUCUUUUCUUUUUUCCAAACUCCUUAGACAUUAAGGCCUCUAGGGUAGGUCAAAUAAAAUAUAAAAUUGAAAGCACUCAAUCUUUCCCUCUAUAAACGAGAGUGGAACCAUGAAGAAAGACAUGAGGAGGAUUUUCUGGAAAAUUUAUUGACAAUUUAGUUGAAUACAAGCGUCUCUUGACUUUACUAACCUUAUAAUCACAGUUAUCCUUGCAAUUUAUAUUAAAUUUAUUUAUUCAGGUAAUUAUUUUUUUGUUUUACCUGAUUAUCAAAAUGUUGGCUAUUUACAUUCAUUGAAUUCUCACUUUUAGAAGAACAUAUUUUUGAUAAAAAAUGACUUUUAGGGUUUUAUUUAGUUAUGUGUUUAUUAUAUGUGUUUUUCUUUCUCUUAUGGGGCACCAGGAUUGAACUCAGAGGCACUUGACCACUGAGCCACAUCUCCAGCUCUAUUUUGUAUUUUAUUUAGAGACAGGGUCUCACUGAGCUGCUUGGUGCCUCACUUUUGCUGAGGGUGGUUUUGAACUCUCAAUCUUCCUGCCUCCUGCCUCAGUCUCCUGAGCUGCUGGGAUUACAAGUGUGCACCACUGCAUGGGGCUAUAUGUGUUUUUCUUAUUUGCCUGAAUAGGAGUGGACUGGUUCAAAGCAUGAGUUCUUAGAAUAGAGAAACCAUGAUUGUAGGAAUUUUGUCUAAGAUCAGAGUAGACUAGUCCAAUUCUUAAUAGUGCUAGAAGACUUAUAGUUUGGACACAAGAUAUCUCCCAAAAGCUUCUGUGUUAAUGCUAGAAUAUAUAUAGAUGAGAUUAGAUUAUAGGAUCUGUCACCUAAUCAGUGCAUCCUAGUUUGAAAGAGCUAAUUGGAUUGUAAAUAUAGGCAGGUGGGUGUGGCUGGAGGAAGCAGAUCACUGGGUGUGUGCCCUGCAAGGGUUCAUCUUCCCUGCAGCUCCUUCCCCUCUCUGCUUCCUGGCCUCCAUAAAUUGAGAGGCUUUCCUCUGCCAUACUCUUCCACCAUGAUGUUCCACCUUAUCUUGGGCCCAGAGUUACAGAGUUAGCAGAUUAUGAACUGAACCUUUGAAACUGUAAGUCCAAAAUAAUUUUUUUUCCUUCUCUAAAUUGUUCUUGUGAGGUAUUUUAGUCACAGCAGUGAAAAGGUAACAGAAAUACUAAGAAGCUACAGGAUCAAAUGCAAAUUGGCUACAGCAACAUUAAGGCUCCUGAGAUAAAAGACAUUGUUUGAAACAAAUAGUUUUGUCUUUAUUGGAUACAGAGGCAGUUGAGUACUACAGAAAGCCAUAGAAAAUCUGACUUGAUCUUCUACCUCUCCCUUGCCCUAUCUGUCAACACCUUAUUUAGGCUCUGCUAAUGACCACAACCAAAUCUUUGAUUGCUAUUUGAAGUGUACACAUGCUAUUCAUUUAUUGAAUUCAACAUAUUACAUUGAAUUUGAUGGAUCAUGUAAUAAUUUAAUAAAUCAUUUAAUACUUAACUUAUUAAUUAUAAUAUAGAAUCCUAGUAUGUCAUACACAGUUACACUGCAUCACAAUAUAUAAGUAGUUCUGGAAAAAUUUACAUUUUUAUGUAUUAGAGUGAAUUCACAGUUAUAUUUAUAAUAGUGACAUUAUCCUUCAUUAUGCAAUCUUUGAGUAGAAAAGAAAGAAAAGCAAUGACAGGUAGUGAUACCACCAGUUACCAGUGAUGAGUUCUGCUUCCCCACAUGUUGAAGUUUGAACAUUAGAGAAGCAUGCCAAGACAAGCAUAUAACGCAGGAUUUAUUUAAAAAGGGGUAACAUAGACUUUUCCCAGGAGGGAGAAGGAAGCCAUAGCUGGUAUCCUGGUGUCCCAUGAAGUGAGGCAUUCUGCAUUUUUUAUGUGUCCUAUGCUUCCUUUGUUCAUUUGCUCUCUUCCCCUUAUCUCUCUCCUUCCUGCAUAUAUGACUAGGCCCAGGAAAUGCUGGGUGGGAUGGCCAAAAGGUGGGAAACAGGUGGGCUGAAGGGGGAAGGGCAGGAUGGAGUAGCCCAGGACACAUUUUACAACUCAAUGUAGGGAGGGGAAAUUCCUGGGACAGGUUACCUUGGCAACAGGUUGGAGUUGGGGCAGGUUAUCUAGAUAGGGUGGAGGGAGCUCUCUGAAGGCAUUUGGAUCCCUCAAGCAGCAGUUUCCAACACCCUGAACUCACUCAAUUGGCCUCCUUGAUCUGACCUGACUUGAUUUACCUAUCUACACAGAUGGUCUAAUUCUGGCUUCAGUAACAUUUCAGGAAUUUCAUUUAACUUUUAGAUUCAAGGGGUUAUGCUAAGGAUGGAAAGAUUAUGCAUUAAAUAUGUCAUAUUGUAUGAGAAAAUCAGACCUCCUCCCUUAUAGGAGAGUAAAGAGAGACUUACAAAAAAAACUUAAGGAGAUAUGCCUAAGAAAAGUUAAAACCCAUGCCUUCUGAUUUCUAAUUAUUGUCAUGAAAGUGUAGAUGGAUUCUUUUGCUGAGAAUAGAGGAUGAAGACAAAGAGAAGUAGCUAUUCCUCCAUUUACUAUGUGAAUUGCCUAUUAAUUUUAAAAAUUAGUCAUGGGAAAGAAUUCUACGUAGAAAGCCAUGUUGAGUGGCAAUUAUUUGCUAUUUGUAAACUUAAUCAUAGGAAGAGGUUGAUGUGUGAGAGUUCCUUAAAAUGUAUGAUACAUGCUUACCUCAGAUAUAUUGUGGAUUCCAGACCACUGAACUAAAGUGAAUGUCAAUGUCAUAUUAAUACAAGUCACAUAAUAUUUUGUGUUUCCCAGGAUAUAUAAAAAAGUCAUGUUCACAUUGUAUUGUAGUCAAUUAAAUGUGCAAUGCCAUCAGGUCCAAUAAUAUAUACACCUGAAUUAAAUCUAUUUUGCUGCUAAAAAUGCUAAUAAUCAUCUGAAUCUUUUGCCAGUGGGUCCUAAUCUCUUUGCUUGCAGAGCCUUGUCUCCCUGGUGAGUGGUUACAGAGAGUUUACAGUGGAGGUUGCUGAAGAUUGGGCUGCUGGGACAAUUUCUUAAAAUAAGAUAACAAUGAAAUUUGCUGCAACUGACUGUCUUCAUGAAAAAUUUCUCUUUAGAAUUCGAUGGCGUUUGAUAGCAUUUUAUCCACAGAACUUCUUCUGAAAUUGAAGUUGGUCUUUUCAAACUCUGCUGCAGCUCUGUAACCUAGGUUUAUGUAAUAUUCUCAAUCUUUUUUUUGUUCUUUGAACACUGUUGACAGCAUCUUCUCCAGGGGUGGAUUUUAUCCAUAAAAAGAGUAAUUCCUCAUCCAUUAAUUUUUUUUCAUGAGAUUGCAGCAAUUUAGUCAUAUCUUCAGGCUCCAUUUGUCAUUCUACCUUUCUUACAAUUUCCACCAUUCCUACAGUUUUUCUCAACUGAAGUUACUCAAAAGUCAAUGAACCACUCAAAGUCAUCCAUAAGGGGUGGAUUAAAGUUUUCACUAAUAUUUCUAUUUUGACCUUUUCGUAUGAAUCACAAAUGUUAUUAAUUUCACCUAGAAUGUUGAACCCUUUACAGACAAUUUUCAAUUAACUGUUCCCAGAUAUAAUAGAGGAAUCCCUAACUAUGGCUUUGUGUGUGUAUGUGUGUGUGUGUGUGUGUGUGUAUUUCUUAAAUAAUAAGAGCUAGAAGUAAAAAUUCUCCUCAAUUCAUGGGGUACAGAAUAGAUGUUAUGUUAGUAGGCAUAAAAACAAUAUUAAUCUGGUACGUAUUCAUCAGAAUUUUUGGGUGAUCAGGUGAACUGUUAAUGAUCAGUAAUAUUUUUAAAGGAAUCUCUUUUUAUUUUCUUUGAGCAAUAAGUUGCAACAGUGAGUUAAAAAUAUUUGGCAUAUCUUGUUAUAAACAGAUGUCAUCCAGUCUUUUGUUAUUUUUUUUAUGAUUUCAAGGUAGAAGAGAUUUAGUAUAAUUCUUGACUUUUGAAGUGGUAAAUGAAUAAUUGGAUUUAACUUAAAAUCACCACCUACAUUAUCUCUUAACAAGAGAGUCAGCCUGGCCUUUGAAACUUUGAAGCCAAGCAUUGACCUCUUCUCUCUAGCUGGAUAAGUCCUAGACAGCAUGUUCUUCCAACAUAAGGCUCUUUUGUCUGUGUUGAAAAUCUGUUGUUUGGCAUAGCUAUAUUUAUCCAUUAUGUUAGCUGUAUCUUCCAGAUAACUUCUAGAUCAGGACUUCGUGCUUCACCUUGUACUUUUAUGUUAUGGAGAUGACUUCCUUUCUUAAACCUCUUGGGCCAAAUUCUGUUAGCUUCAAACAUUUCUUCUGUAACUUCCUUACUUCUAUCAACCUUCAUAGAAAUGAAGAUAGUUAGGAUUUUUCUCUGGAUUAGACUUUGGUUUAAGGGAAUGUUGUGGCUAAUUUGAUAGAUUCAGACCACUAAAACCUCUCCAUAUCAGCAGAAAGAUUGUUACACUUUCUUAGGCUUUGCUAUGUUCACUGGAGUUGCACUUUUUAAUUUCUUCCAAGAGCUUUUCCAUUGUAUUCACAGUGUUGUGAACUAUGUGCCACAAGGAGAUCAGCUUUCAACCUGUUCUGGCUAUUGGCAUGCCUUCCUCACCUUACUUAAUCAUUUUUAGCUUUUGAUUUAAAGUCAGAGGCUUCUAACUCUUCUUUUCACUUGAACACCUAGGGGUCAUUGUAGGGUGAUUAAUUACCUUAUUUUAGGGGAUAGAGAGGCUUGAGGAGACAGGGCGAGCUAGGGAACAUCUGGUCAGAUAAAAAAUCAGAACACACAUAUUCAUCUAUUAAGCUCUUUGUCUUAUAUGAAUCCAGUUUGCAGCCCCUAAACAAUUAUAAUAAUAACAUCAAAGAUAGCAGGUCACAAUAACAGAUAUAAUAAUGGAAAUGUUCAAAAUAUUGGGUAAAUGCACAAAAUAUGAUACAGAGACACCAAAUAACACACUGUUGAAAAAAUUGGCACUAAAACACUUGUUCAACUCAGUAUUGUUACAAAGCUUCUAUUUGUAAAAAUGCACCAUCUGUGCAUUAUAAUAAAGCAAAGUGCAGUACAUUGAGGUGUGCCUGUAACAUCAGAUAUUUUCAAGUUGCUCCUGAAGAAUGGCUGUUGUUUAGAUUUUAACUUGCAAGAACUCUCUUUCCUGAACCCUAAAACUCAAAGAGCAAAGAUUAAAACCUGAGGUUAGGUUUCAAGUGACAUUAGAUUAUUUUUAUGUGUAGAAAAUUCCAUUAAAGGAAACUCCUCUUUAGGUUUUAUAAAUGCUUCAUUUGACCUUAUCAUUUAGAACUACUUAAUAACUUGUUAAUAUUUUAAUAAGCAUAUGAACCAUUUCAUCAACAUCUUUUUAUACUGAUUCAGGAACAUUUUGGUAAAGUGGUUCCAAAUAUUUUUGGUGGAAGUAUGAGCCAUUGUUGAAAUUUCUUCUCUAGAAUUUAAUGGAGGUUAUAAGCAUAAUGAUAAGUCAAGAUAAAUACUUCCCCUCAACUGAUGAAGUUUUAGGAAGAAAUAUUCAAUAAGCAUCAAAAUUAUUUUGAACAUUAUUAAGGAUAAUAAAUAAAUUUGAAGGUGGCUUUUGAAGUUAAUAAGAAAGCACGAAAAUCAAAAUCUCUUAUUUUAAAUCAUUCAUAAUUAAAAACAUAAGCAUGUAUCUUUUGGUCAUAUAUUAUGAACAAAUCUAUUAUGAUAAAUGUGACAGGGUGCUCAAAUAUUCAUGGGACAACAAACCCUUACCCCCCCCCCCAUAGUAGUUUAGAAUACUGAAGUGCAGACAUUGACCUGCGUGGGACGAAGGCCCAAAGUGGGUUUGGGUCCAUCCUACCACCAGCAGACACCUGCUGGAGCUCAGGCUCCAGCAUAGAACUGCCUCUUUUGACCAGCAGACCACCGGGAGCUCAGGGCUGGCCCAGAUCCACCCAUAAACACAUAAUGGGAUCCAGGCCCAGGGUAAGUCCAAGUUUGCCAUCCCCAACACCUGGGAGCCCAAGCCUAACCCACUCCAUCUUGGGACACAGCAGACAUUGCCAUAGCCUUCCCCAUGCAGUAGCUCCUACCUUUUGACAACAGACAGGGCCUAGAAGUAGCUGCAUCUCAGAGCAGGCAUCCUAAAGACAGUAUAAGUCCCACCCUUUUAGCCCCAUCUCUGUAAGAUGUUGCAUCCAUUUUGGGGUACCUCCACUAUUAUCUUGAGUUACCUAGCUAUUGCUCUCACAAACUUUAGUUGCACUAGCAUACAUUGAGGGACACCUGCAAGGUCUGGAAGCCCAACAUCAAGAUGACGUACAGACAAUCUGCACGGGUACUACAAGAAUAUAGGGUAGAAACUGUAAUAUCUCAGAUCCACACUUCAAGAAAGGAAGACACAUAGACAACAUGAAAAAACGAGGGAGAAAAGUGCCCCAACAAACCAGGACACGAUAAUAACAGAACCCAUGGACAGCAAAAUUGAUAAAAUGUCAGAGAAGGAGUUCAGAACAUUCCUAAUUAAAAUAAUCUGUGAAUUAAAGAAUGACCUAAAUGAGUAAAUACAGGCAAAAAUUAACACUCCAAUAAUAAGAUAAGAGAGCAAAUACAGGUAGCAAAAGAUUACUUCAAGAGAGAGACAUUCUGAAAAAAAGAAAACAGAAAUUCUUGAAAUGAAGGAUACAAUAAAUCAAAUUAAAAAACUCAAUAGAAAGCAGAACCAACAGAGUAGAUCACUUGGAAGAAAGAAUGUCAGAUAAUGAAGACAAAGUAUACAACCUAGAAAAUAAAGUUGAUCACACAGCGAAGAAAGUUAGAAACCAUGAAUAUCCAAGAAUUAUGGGACAGCAGCAAAAAGACCAAAGCUAAGAGUUAUUGGGAUAGAGGAAGGCAGAGAGUUUCAAACCAAAGGGAUGCACAAUCUCUUCAAUGAGAUAAUAUCAGAAAAUUUCCCAAGCAUGAAGAAUGAAUUAGAAAACCAAACACAAGAGGCUUACAGAACACCAAAUGUACAAAAUUACAACAGAUCUCAAGGCACAUUAUGAUGAAAAUGCCUAGCAUACAGAAUAAGGAUAGAAUCUUAAAAGCCACAAGAGAGAGGAAUCAGAUCACAUGGAGGGGGAAACUAAUUUAUAUCUCAGAAGAUUUUUCAAGCCAGACCCUCAAAGCCAGGAGAUCAUGGAAAAACAUAUAUCAAGCUCUGAAAGAAAAUGGAUGCUAACCAAGCAAAAUUAAACUAUAGAUUUGAUGAUGAAAUAAAAACCUUCCAUGAUAAACAAAAGUUAAAAAAAUUUACAAUGAGAAAGUCUACACUACAGAAAAUAUUCAGCAAAAUAUAGUAUGAAGAGGAAAUGAAAAAGAAUGAUGAAAAUCAGCAGAGGGAAGUAUUACACUAAAGGAAAAUGUAAUCAGAGGAGAAACCAAGAUAAAUACCAAAAAUAAACAAAAAUAACUGGAAGGACAAAUCAUGUCUCAAUAGUAACCCUGAAUGUUAAUGGCCUAAACUCAUCAAUCAAAAGACAUAGCAUAGCAGAUUGAAUAAUAAAAAAAAAAAUCCAACAAUAUGCUUCCUCCAAGAGACUCAUAGGAAAAGACAUUCACAGACUGAAGGUGAAGGGUUGGGAAAAAUCAUACCACUCUCUGUGGAAGCAGGCAGGGAUUUCCAUCCUCAUAUCAAAUAAAGCAGACUUCAAGCUAAAGUUAAUCAAAAGGGAUAAAGAAGGACAUUACAUACUGCUCAAGGGAACCAUACACCAACAAUACUUAACAAUGAUAAAUAUAUAUGCCCCAAACAAUGGAGCAACUUUGUUCAUCAAACAAACUCUUUUCAAGUUCAAGAGUCAAAUAGAACACAACACAAUAAUUUUGGGUGACUUAAAUACAACUCUUUUACCACUGGAUAGAUCUUCCAAACAAAAGCUGAACAAAGAAACUAUAGAACUAAUAAUACAAUUGAUAAGUUAGACUUAACUGACAUUCCUAGAACAUUUCAUCUUUCAACAAGUGAAUACAUUUUCUUCUUAGCAGCACAUAGAUCCUUCUCUAAAAUAGACCAUGUAUUAUGCCACAAAGCAACUUUUAGCAAAUCUAGCAAAAUAGGGAUAUUACCCUGUAUUAGAUCAGACCGUAAUAGAAUGGAAUUAUAAAUCAAUGAUAAAAAGAUAAAUGAAAGCUAUUCCAACACCUGGAGACUAAAUAUAAGUAACUGAAUGAGCAACGUGUUGCAGAAGACAUUAAGGAGGAGAUUAAAAAAAUUUUUAGAGGUGAAUGAGAACACAGAUACAACAUAUCAAAAUCUCUGGGACACUAUUAAGGCAGUUCUAAGAGGAGAGUUCAUUGUAAGGAGUUCAUUUCUUAAAAGAAGAAAAAGUCAACAAAUAAAUGACUUAACAUUACAUCUCAAAGCCCUAGAAAAAGAACAAAUCUACACCAAAAGCAGUAGAAGACAAGAAGUAAUUAAAAUCAGAGCUUAAUGAAAUCAAAACAAGAAAAACAAUUGAAAAAAUUGACAAAACAGAAAGUUGGUUCUUUGCAAAAAUAAAUAAAAUUGACAGACCCUUAGCCAUGCUAAUGAAGAGGAGAGAAAAAAACUCAAAUUACUAACAUACGUGAUGAAAAAGAAAAUAUCACAACAGACACUACAGAAAUCCAGAAAAUAAUUACAAAUUAGUUUGAAAAUGUGUAUUCAAAUAAAAUAAUGUCUUGGAGGCAUUGACAGAUUUCUAGAGUCAUAUGUUUUCCCCAAAUUGAAUCAGAAUGAUAUAUGCAUUUUAAACAGAUCAAUUUCAAGCAACAAAACAGAAGACACCAUCAGAAGCCUACCAACCAAGAAAAGCCCAGGACCGGACAGAUACACAGCUAAGUUCUACAAGACCUUUAAAGAAGAACUAAUACGAAUACUCUUCAAUUAAUUCCAGGAAAUAGAAAAAGAGGCAGCACUUCUGAACUCAUUGUAUGAGGCCAAUAUCACCCCGAUUCCAAAACCGGGAAAAGACACAUCAAAAAAGAGAACUUCAGACCAAUAUCACUAAUGAACAUAUAGAUGCAAAAAUUCUCAAUAAAAUUCUGGCAAAAUGAAUACAAAACAUAUCAAAAAGAUCAUGUACAUGAUCAAGUGGGUUUCAUCCCAGGGAUGCAAGGUUGGUUCAACAUAUGGAAAUCAAUGAAUAUAAUUCCUCACAUCAAUAAACUUAAAGAUAAGAACCAUAUGAUCAUCUCAGUAUAUGCAGAAAAGCAUUCAACAAAAUACAGCACCCCUUUAUGUUCAAAACACUCGAAAAAGUAGUAAAAGCUGUCUAUGCUAAGCCCCAGGCCAACAUCAUUCUAAAUGGAGAAAAAUUAAAACAUUCCCUCUAAAAACUGGAACAAGAAAGGGAUGCCCUCUUUAACCACUUCCAUUUAACAUAGUUCUUGAAACACUGGUCACAGCAAUUAGACAGACAAAAGAAAUUAAAGGGAUACAGAUGAGUAAAGAUGAACUCUAAUUAGCACUAUUUGCUGAUGAUAUGAUUCUAUACCCAGAAGACCCAAAAAAAUUCCACCAGAAAACUUCUAAAACUAGUAAAUGAAUUCAGCAAAGUAGCAGGAUACAAAAUCAACACUGAUAAAUCAAAAGCAUUUAUAUAUAUCAGUGACAAAUCCUCUGAAAGAAAAAUGAGGAAAACUACCCCGUUUAUAAUAGCAUCUAAAGAAAAAAUAAUAAAAAAUAAAAUACUUGGGAAUCAACUUAAUGAAAGAGGUGAAAACUCUCUAUAAUGAAAACUAUGAAAUGCUAAAGAAAUAAUUAAAGAAGACCUUAGAAGAUAGAAGGAUCUAACUUGUUCUUGGACAGGCAGAAUUAAUACUGUCAAAAUGGCCAUACUACCAAAAGCACUAAAUAGAUUUAAAGCAAUUCCAAUCAAAAUUCCAAUGACAUUCCUCAUAGAAAUAGAAAAAGCAGUCAUAAAAUUUAUCUGGAAAAAUAAGAGACCCAGAAUAACCAAAGCAAUCCUUAGCAAGAAGAAUGAAGCAGAUGACAUCACUAUACCAGACCCUAAACUAUACUAUAUAGAGCAGUAGUAACAAAAAACAAUAUGGUAUUGCCACCAAAAUAGACUUAUAGACCAAUGGUACAGAAUAGAGGACACAGAGACUAACCCACAUAAUUACAGUUAUCUUAUAUUUAACAAAGGCACCAAAAAUGUACAUUGAAGAAAAGAUAGCCUAUUCAACAAAUGGUGGUGGUUAAACUGGAAAUCCAUAUGCAACAAAAUGAAAUUAAAACCCUGUCUCUCACCAUGCACAAAACUCAAGUCAAAGUGGAUCAAGGACCUAGGAAUUAAACCAGAGACCUUGAACCUAAUGGAAGAAAAAGAAGGCCCUAAUCUCCAUCAUGUAGGAUUAGGCCCCAACUUCCUCAUUAAGACUUCUAUAGCACAAAAAUUAGUAUCAAGAAUCAAUAAAUGGAAUGGAUUCAAACUAAAAAGUUUCUUUGAGGCAAAAGAAAUAAUCAGUGAAGUCAAUAGAGAGCCUACUAAUUGGGAACAAAUUCUUAUCACAUGCCUGUCAAAUAGAGCACUAAUCUCUAGAAUAUACAAAGAAUUCAAAAAUCUUAACAUCAAAAAAACAAAUAACUCAAUCAAUAAAUCAGCCAAGGAACUGAACAGACACUUCUCAGAAGAAGAUACACAAUCAAUCAACAAAUAUAUGAAAAAAAUAUUUAUCAUCUCUAGCAAUUAGAGAAAUGCAAAUCAAAACUACUCUAAGCUUUCAUUUCACUUCAGUCAGAAAGGCAGCUAUUAAGAAUAUAAACAACAAUAAGUGUUGGUGAGGAUUUGGGGGAAAAGGCACACUCAUACAUUGUUGGUGGGACUGUAAAAUGGUGCAGCCAAUAUGGAAAUCAGUAUGGAGAAUCCUUGGAAAAAUGGGUAUGGAACCACCAUUUGACCCAGCUAUCCUACUCCUCAGUCUAUACCCAAAGGAAUUAAAAACAGCAUACUACAGGGGACACUGCCACAUCAAUGUUUAUAGCAACACAAUUCACAAUAGCUAAACUGUGGAACCAACCUAGAUGCUAUUCAGUAGAUGAAUGGAUAAAGAAAAUAUGGUAUAUUUACACAAUAGAAUAUUAUUCAGCAUUGAAAGAGAAUAUAAUCAUGGUAUUUGCAGGUAAAUGGAUGGAGCUGGAGAAUAUAAUGCUAAGUGUAAUUAGCCAAUCCCCCAAAACCAAAAGCUGAAUGAUUUCUCUGAUUUAAGGAUGCUGAUUCAUAAUAUGCUGGGAGGCGGGGAGGAGGGAGGUAUUAAAUGAACUCUAGAUAGGGCAAAGGGGAAAAGUGGAAGGAGGAGAAGAAAGGGGUAAUAGGGGUAGGAAAGAUGAUGCAAUAGUCAUCAUUACCCUAAAUAUACAUACGAAGACAUGAAGGAUGUGACUGUACUUUGUGUACAACCAGAGAUAUGAAAAAUUGUGCUCUAUAUGUGUAAUAUGAAUUACAAUGCAUUCUGUUUGUCAUAUAUAAUAAGUGAAAAUUUAAAACAAAUUAAAAAAUAAAGAAUACCAAAAUGCACAUUGAAAAGUUGAUGUUACCACAGUAUUAUAAAAGGAUAUAAAAAGACAAUUGUGAUUGGUCCUCCUCCUGUUUCAAUCACAUUCAAUUCACAUAAAAAAAUCUGAUACCCUCAUUUUAACUUUUCCCCACUGAGACAUUAUUAAAAUCUGAGAAGGUAGUGUUCUUCCUGAUUGUGAUAAGUGAUAAAACUUUGUGUUAUUAACAAAUUGUUCUACUCAUGAUUUAGAGGAGCAGCAUAUUUAAAAAUUUAAUUUUAAUAAGGUUAAGAGAGUGAUUAAAAUAAAUAUAUUAAAUAAUUUUUAAAUCAAAAAUUUAAAGAAUGUCAUUUAUUUUAAACAAUCUAAUUCCCUCCCAUCAUGUAUGGUUCUUCAUAUCAUUAAGAAAUACAAAGAACAUUUUUUACUUUCAAGUUGCAAAGCAAGAUUUUAUCUGUAUGUAAUGCAGCCCUCUUUUUACAUAUAAAUCAUUACUUAAAUAACAUUUCCAGCUUCAGUGCUGGGAAAGGCACAUUUUUGCAGUAGUUCCAGGGUUGGCAAUAGGAUUAACAUUUUAGCUUUUAUUUUGUCAGUCAGAUUCUGCAAAUUCCUGGGUCUGAUUAAUAAGAAGGACCUUGCAUGUAUAUCCUGAGGAUAGAAAUCAAUUCCACAUGCCUAGGAUAUAAAUGACCAACUUUGGAUGCAAAGUACAUCAAGUGAAGGCUUCAAGGGUAUAAUUGAAAGAGCAUUUCCAGCUUCCUAAUUAUUUUAUUGAACUCUUUACUUCCUUCUUAAGUAAAGAUUAUUUCUUUCCACAAAUGGCUUUCUUUAGGAAAUGUGUCCUUUUUACCUUCUGUUCUUGGGAAAAACAGAGUAUUCUUCUGAGUAUAUCGGCAGGAAAAGGAACAUGGAAAACUAUUGUGUUGGUGGGUGAGUCAAAACAUUGACUUUAUUAUGUAUUUUAUUUACAUUAAUACUUCCGACAACCCAAGAAUUUUUAAUAGUCUUUUUAGGUCAUCAUUCCUUACAUAAAUUCUACAUCAGCUUACCUAUGUUUAUGAUAUUUCAUAAUUACUACAUUCUAGUAUCUGUUUUCUCCUGUUUUUUUUUCUUUUUACUGAUUUAAGCUCUUUAUCCAUUCUUAAUAAAGAAUAUUUUACUGUGUCAUAGGUUAUCAUGGAAAUCUCUUAUACACUAAAGAUUAAAGGAUUAUAUUAAGAAAUAUGACAAUUAAUUUGGGCAAGAUUGAUGUAAUAUUAAAUCUUUCCUUGGAUCACAAAAUUUGUCCAAAAUAAACUUACUGGAAUAUGAUAGGACCAAGCUGAUUCAAAAUAUGUUUUGAAAUUGUGAGGUACUUGAAAGAGGAGUAUUAACAAAAUUUUGAAUUUAAGGUCACUACUAUCCAUAUUUCCACUCUAGUUAUUCUUCACCCGUUAAUUCUCCCUGUCAUCAGACAAAAGCACAAUUGAUGCUGCCAUCUGAGAGUUGGUCAAUGUUCACCUGUAACUCCUUCAAAGGACUCCCAAGCCAUAUAGUGAAACUACAGUUUUCAUGGCAGCAACUCUUGGAGGAUGGUAGUCUUCUUCCAUCUGCAUGACUACUCUGCUUGUUAGGGAACUUGACCUGUCCAAGUUUACAUGGUUUCCUCUCAAUUUCAUCAACAAAUAAUAAGCUGAGAUGCUUUGUGUGCUUUCUUAAGAUAUUUGAAUAGUUUCUCUUUCUACAUAAAACCUUAAAGAUCCUAAAAACACUUAGAGGUUUCUCUGAAUUGAUACCUAACUACAUCUCUAAAUUUAUCUUUUAUUUCUCAUUUCUUCUUGAUUUUAUUGAGGUAUAUCUGUAAACAAUGAAUACUUACAAUGUGAUAAGUUUUUGUUUAUUUAUUUAUUUUUUGUUUUUGUUUCUGUCACUGGGGAUUGAACCCACGGGUACUUAAUCACUGACCCACAUUCCCAAUCUUUUUAUUUUAUUUUUAUUUUGAGACAGUGUCUCCUGAAGUUGCUGAGGCUGGCUUUGAACUUGCAAUUCUCCUUCCUCAGCCUCCUCAUCUCUUGGGAUUAGAGGUAAUAAUAAUAAUGCCACUGCUCCUGGCAUAAUGUGGUAAGUUUUGACACAAGUUUAUAUCUGAUGAUUGCACUAUUAUCAAGGUGGUAAACUUUUAAAUCACUCUCUAAAUGUUCCUAAUGUCCUGCUGUAAUCAUGACCUCCUGACCUGCCUCUUUCCCCUUCCAAGGAAACAAGUGAUCAGCUUUCUAUCACUAUAGGUUAGUUUGCUCAUUUCAGAUUUUGAUAAAAAUGAACUAAUACAGUGUAUAUUUUUAAAUAUAAUAUCAUUAGCAUAAUUAUUUUUAGCUCCAUCUAUGUUGUGUCAGUAGUAAAUUUCUUAUCAUUACAGAGCAAUAUUCCAUUGUAUAAAAUACUAUAUUAAUUUAUUCAUGUACCUGUGAUAAAUAAUUUUAUUGUAUACAGAUUUUUGACUCCUUCAAAUAAAAUUAGUAUGACUACUUAUUUUUAUAUACACAUAUUUUUCUUCUUGGGAGAACAUGUAAAGGUAACUGGGAUAUGAUAAGAAUAUCCUUAAUAUUUGAAAAAUCUGCCAAAUUGUUUGUAUAGUGUACCACUUUAUUUUUCUACUGUUUGAGAAUGAGAGUUCUGUUUCCUCCACAUCCUUAUUGUAGUUUUAAUUGCUUUUUUUCCCUAACCACUGAAGAUAGUGAGCAUCUCUUUAUGUGUUUACUUGGAAUUCAAUGUAUAUCCCUUAAUGAAGUAUCUGUUCAAAUUUGUGGGCUAUUUUUAGGGGUGUGUGUGUGUGUAUGUGUGCGCGCGUAUGUGUUGAAAAAAUAUAUACAUGUGGAUACAAGUACUUUAUCAGAUAUAUGGUUUACAAAUAAUUUUUUCCAGUUUGUAGCUAAACUUUUCAUGCUCUUGUCUUUCAAAGAGCAAAUGUUUCUAACUUUAAUAAAAUGUAAUUUAUUAUUUUUUCUCCCUUACUUAACACAAGGUUACAAAGAUUUUCUUUUAUGACUUCUUCUGUAAGUUUUGUAGUUUCAGAUUUUAUAGUUAGGCUUAUGGUCAAUUUUGUGUGAGUUGGUGUAUUUGGUGUAAGAUAUUUGGUGAUCAAGGAUAAAUGACAAUAUCCAGUUGUUUCAGUGUCACUUGUUGAAAAAGCUAUUCUUUCUCAAUUGAUUUGCUGUUGUGUUUUAUUAAGAAUUAUUUGUCCACAUAUGUGGGCAUAUUUUGGACCGUAUUCUUAACUACACUGAUAUUUUUAUCUAUCAUGAUGCAAAUGGCACACUGCAUUUAUUUCUGUUGUUUCUAUUAAACAUGAAAUUAGGUGGUAUUAGUCAUCUGAAUUUACUCUUCAAAGUUGCUUUGACUAUUCUGGAUCCUUUGCAUUUCACUAUGACAUUUAGAAUCAGCAUGAAAUUACUAAAAACAUGGCCAGCAUUUAAAUUUCUUUUUACUUUAUAAUUUUUUAUUUUGUUUUAAUUAGUUAUACAUGAAAGUAGAAUGCAUUUAUACACUUUGGUAUUUCAUACAUAGAUAGGGCAUAACUUCUCAUUUUUCUGAUUGUACAUGUUGUAGAAUCAUAUCGGUCAUGCAGUCAUAUAUGUACAUAAGAUGGCCAACAUUUUUUAAUAGUUUGAGAUAUAAUUUACAAUAUAAUAUUUACAUAUUUUACAUGUAUAAUUGAAUGACUUCUAAAUUUAUAGAGAUAUGCAACUGUUAAGUUUCAACUUUAGAACAUGUUAUCACCUCCAAAAUAUUCUGCUUAUCUGUUUGCAGUGAAUUUCCUUUCCAAAUACCAGCCUCAGGCAUCCUGUAAUCUUUUUUCUUUCUUGGACAUUUCAUAAAAAUGGAAUCAGACUCUAUGAAACAUUGCAUAUAAAUUCUUUUACUUUGUGUAAUAGUUUUAUUUGGGUUGUUACCAGUUUUGCAUCUGUGAAUGGUGCCUCUAUCAAUAUAUGUAUAAAAACCUUUGUGUGGACAUGUACUUUCAUUUCUCUUGAGUAUAUUCCUAGGAUAUGGAAUUAUAAGGGUAAUAUGCUAAGUAUGUAUUAGGUUCAAAAAAUAAUCAUUAGUUAUUAGAUCAGUUUUAACACAUCAAAACUGAAAGAAAGCCACACAGUGUUCCUAUAUAUCCCCAUCCCCACGGGUGGACAAUUUCCUCCACCUUCAACAUUGCAUACCACAGUGGCAGUCUAGUUAUAAUUCAUCAAUCUACAUUGACAUACCAAUAUAACUCAAAGCAUGUAGUUUGUUAGGAUUCACUCUCUGUGUUGUUUAUAAAUUUGACCAAUGUAUAAUUAUACACAUUCCCCAUUAUAGGGUCAUAGUGAAGAGUUUCUCUGCUCUAAAAUCUUCUGUUGCAUCUGUUCAUCCUUUUCUCCUGCCCUGUAACCCAUGAUAAUCACUGAUAUUUUACUUUCUCUAGUUUUGUCCUUUCCAGAAUGUCAUUUAGUUAGAAUAAUAUAGCCUGUAGCCUUUUCAGAUUAGGUUUCUAUUACUUAGUACCAUAUAUUUAAAUCUCCAUGUCUUUUCAUGUCUUCUUGUUUCAUUUUAAUGCUGAAUAAUAUUGUAUGGUACAUUCCAUUAUCUGAAUGUACCAGAGUUUAUUUACCAUUCUCAGUCUUGAAAAUCAUGAAUAAAACUCUUACAAACAUUUAUGCAGGUUUUUGUGUGGACAUAGUUUACUGCCAAACUAUCUUCCAAAGCAACCAGACCAGUUUGUAUUCUUUCUAAUAAUGAAAAAAAAAAGAUUCUUUUUGUUCCACAUCUUAGCUAUAAUUUGGCAUUAUCGGUGUUUUGGAUUUUAGUGAUUAUAAUAGGUAGAUAAAAUAUAUGCCUUGUUUUUGUUUGCAAAUCCCUAAUGAAAAAUGAUAUGGGGUAUAUUUUCAUAUUGUUAUGCUAUCAUAUAUCUUAGUUGGUGAUGUGUCUUUUGCUCUUUAUUCAUUGGAUCGUUUGUUUUCUUAUUGUGAGUCUAGCAAGUUCUUUGUAUAUCUUGAAUAAUGGUCUUUUAUUGGUAUUUAUCUGUUUUGCAGAAAUGUUUUCUAGUCUGUACCUUGUCUUAUUCUCUGAACAUUAUUUUUCACAGAACAGAGUUUUAAAUUUUAAUGAAGUCCAUAUUCUUAAUUCCUUGUUUCAUGAAUAGUAUCUUUACAGUUGUAUCUAAAUUCUUUUGACAUACCUAUGGUCAUAUAUGUUUUCUCCUAAAAAAUUUAAAUCUUUGUAUUUUAUAUUUAAGUUGUUGAUAUGUUUUGAGUUAAUUUUUGAGAAGGGUGUAACAUCUGUGUCCAGAUUUUUUUUUUUUUUGAGUAUGGGGAUGUCCAGAUGUUCCAUAACCAUUUGAUGAAGAGACUGUCUUUUCUUCAUUGUAUUGCUUUUGUUUUUUUGUAAAAAUCAGCAAACUAUAUCAGACUAUAUGCACAUGGAUGUAUUUGGGGGUUUUCUGCCCUAUUUCACUAAUAUAUUAUUCUCCAAUACAAAAAUGUCUUGAUUAUUGUGGCUUUAUAUUAGGUCUCAAAGUCCAAUAUUAUAAGUCUUCCAAUUUUGUUGUUCUCCUUUAAUAUUUAUUUAGCUAUUAUAGGUCUUUCAUCUCUACAUGUAAAUAGAAUUAGCUUAUAAUAUCCACAAAAUAAGUUUAUGGAAUUUUGAUUGGGAUUUCAUUAAAUUUAUAGAUCAGAUUAGAAAAACUUGCAUCUUAAUAACACUGGGUCUUCCUAUUUGUGAAUAUUGAAUAUCUGCAUUUAUUUAGAUCUUUGAUCUUUUUUCAUUGAGUUUUAUAGCUUCUCUCACAUAGAUGGUUUGGGAGAGGGAAGAAUAGAAGUUCAUUGGAUUAGACAAAGGGGAAUGAGUCAAGUGGGGUGGAAAUAGGAAAGACAGUAGAAUAAAUCAGUCAAAAUUUUUCUAUGUUUAUAGAUGAACGCACAACCACUAAAACUCCACAUCAUGUACAACUGCAAGAAUGGGAUCCUAAUUAGAAUGAAUUAUUCUCCAUGUAUGUAUAAUGUUCAAAAUACACUCUACUGUCAUAAAAAAAAGAAAUACCCCAUUUGAAUGGAAGGAGAUGAAGAUGGGAAAAUGAAGUGGGGCUGUCUGAAUUCUUGGAUUCUAUAGAACAUGACUAUAGAGCUAUUGUAUCACUACUCAUGUCUAGUUUUCAAGAAAAGAAAAGAUGCCCUUGAAGUUGAUUCACAGAUCAUAAGGACUGACGCAUUCACCAUUAACUAAAGGGGCAGAGCUUCUUCCUCAAGGAGGAACCUAACAGAUAUUCACAAGGUCAGUGACCUACCAAUUCAAAUGGCCGGGGCUGCUCUGUAGAGUAUUGGUGGUGACACUGCAACCCAAGUGGUCCUGUAGAGGAGAUCAGACCAAAAAAUUACUUUGAGCCUUAAAAUCUAGAGGCAUUCUCCCAUCCUUUUGUUUAAACUUGCUUAGGACUAUUAUCCCUUCCUUCUUUUCUUUCUUUUAAAUGGUAAUGUCUAUCCUUAUGCCUGUCUUCCAUUGUAUUUUGGUAGCAUAGAACAAUGAGUCUGAUUUCACAGGUUCAAAACUGGAGAGGUCUUUUUUACUCAAGAUGAGUCAGAUCUUGAGUCUUAUUCAUAACUAUUCUAAAUUUUAUUUAGAUAAGGCUUUGGACUUUAAACUUGAGAGUCAGUGCUGGAACAAAUUAAGACUUUGGGUGCUGUUGGGACGGAAUGAACAUAUUUUGUAUGUGAGAAGGACAUAAAUUUUUGGGGGGUCCCAGUAGUAAAAUGCUAUUGAAUAAAUAGUAUCCCCCAGAUUCAUAUGUUAAUAACUCUAGCUUCUAAUGUGAUGGUAUAUGGAAAGGGGGCUUAUGUUAGUCACAGUUUUCCAGAGAUGCAGAACAAAUAAAACUUAUACAUGAGGGUAAGACUCUCAUGAUAGAAUUUGUGCUGUGUUGUUUCCACAUGCAUACAAAGAAGAAAGGUCAUGUGAUCACAUAGUGAGAUGGCAGGAAGAGAAUCCUAUUGUGCUACUACUCUGAUCUCAAGUUUCUCAUCUCCAGAAGGGUAUAAAAAUAUAUUUCUAUUGUGGAAGCCACCCAAUAUAUGGAAUUUUGUUUGGUAGCACUGGCUGACUAAGGUAGUAUACAUUUUGGGGACAUUAUUUCUCCAUAAUGAGAGGAAGAAUAUACUGAUUAACUUCAAAAUCCACUAUAUUGUUGUUGUUGUUUCUCCUGUUUGCAUUAGUUAGGAUUCUUUAGGUCUUUACAAAUAGAAACUCAAUGGAAAAAGGCUAAAGGCAUAAAGCCAACAUUUGACUUAUAUAACUGGGAAGUCUAAUGGAUAGCUGAAUCCAAGGGUUGAAAAUAUUAUUAGAAUUCAGUCUCAGCAUUGUAUAAUUCUAAUGAGAGACACUUGGAGACAGGCUUCCUCUACAUGAAAGGUAGGUGGUACAACCCAAGACUGUGCCAGAUUUCCUGUUGCUAAGGCAGUGUCAUCCCUGUUAACUUCUAUACUCUCUGCCUCAUCACAAGGGAGACGCCGGGGAACUAAAUUUUCCUGAGCUCCUUGUCAACAGCUCAUCCUGUUAAAUUAUAACAGAGAGUAGCAUAUUUUCAGGAGGGUUGAAGAAACCAAUAAAGUGAGUCACUAUAUUUAGACUCAGUCAUAGGGAGUUCACCUUGUUUCCAGGAUAGAUGAAGGGCUGUUUGAUUGUCAGACAACAAACAGUGGAAUACUGGAACCUUCCAAAAGAAAGGAUUUGAAGUGAUGUUAGAAGAACAAGACACCUAUCAUGGCUCUUUCAGACAACACAGAAUAAUUAUGUCACUAAAUACUUUUUUUGUUUUAAUUUUUAUAUAAAAGGGAAUAAAUUGUGAUGUCCAAUCAAGGCACCUGAUGGAGAUUUAAGAGAUUUCUUAACUUUGUAUACAUUUAUUUAUCUUUAACAAAGAAUGAUUAUGUUCAGUUUAAUUCUCUGAAUUGUAUCAAACAAUUUGCUUAGAGAUUAAUAAAGGGAAAGAAACAUCAGAUGACUUAGAAAUAAGAACUAUAAAAUAUCAUUUUUCUAGCAGGAUUUAAAAUUUAUUUUCACCUUCACAACUAAGUAACAAGCAAUUUCAAUCACAUACAUACUUUAUUUAUAAAAAUUAUAUAUAUUACAAACAAUAUUAUUUUUAUAUAUUCCUUCUAUAAAUUUUAUAUUAGGCUUAAUAUAUUAAUUAAGAAUUGAAGAAACAGUAGAAUAGCAGAUAUCAUAUUACACAAUUUCUCUUUUUAUAUUAUAGAAUAUUUGAGAUAGUAUAGAUGAUCAUCAACCUACUUUGGGAUUGCAUCCUAAUAAAACCAAUGUAAGUUGAACAUAUUAUUUUAAAAUGUACUGUUAAUUUACAUUUAAUCCUGAAAUUCAUAGCUUAAUAAACUGUAUGCUACAGAGCAUUGGUUACCUUUGUGAUCAUGUGGCUCACCAAAAGUUCACUGCUACUGCUCAGCACAAAGAAUAUUCUACUGUCUAACCUUAGCUUGGGAAAAGAUCAAAAUUCAAAACUCAGAGAGUGAUUUCAACUGAAUGUAUAUCAUUUUAGUAUCCUGAUAAAAAUUGAAUCUUCGUAUGUUGGGGACUGAAUGUAUUAGUGUUACUUAUGAUAAAAGCUAAAGGGUGCCAUGAAAAGUUACAGAAAUGAAUGAUAGAACAAGACUGAAGUUUGUGUCUUCCCUAGUACUACUAUUGCUAUUCCUGCUGAAAAGCAGCUAUUCCAAAAUGACAUACCAGCUUUCCUCCUUGCAGUCAUUCAGAAGGUUCCCAAAUUCCUUCAUUUAGUGUCUCUCCCACCUCUUCUGGCACUGUACUAAUCUUUGUGUUUGAAGCUAAGUCAGUGCCCUAUGUUGGUGAAGCCUACUGGAAGAAGGAGGAGUUGUGGAACAUGGAGGAGACAAACCCACAUUCUUAAUGCUUACACCUGUAACUAUUAUUCAUCAUCCAGUUAAUUAUGCAUUAGUCACACACUUUACUGCAUUUAACUUAAAAAAUUACAGGCUACGUAUGCCACAAUUGUUUAGAUUUAAUGAAAGCAAAUUCUAAAAGGCUUGAAAAGAACCUCACAUCCAGAGAGAAAUGAAGAAAUGCCCUAGAAAAUUGUCAUGAAUCUCACAUAAUUAAAGGAAAAAUUGUAAAUUAAAGCUUUUUGUUCAUCAGCAUUCUGUCACUAUAAUGACUACCUGAGAUAGUUAACAUAUAAAAACUUUAUCUUGGUACAUUGUUUUAGAGAUUUUAGAGAUCUAGUCUCUGACUGAGUGGACCCCUUGUUUCUACGACUAUGGUGAGGGUACCUGAUGACUAUGGUGGGGUAGUAGUGUGUAGUGGAGCAAAACUAUCAACUCGUGGCCAAGAAAUAAAAGUGAGCAAGGAGGGAGGCUAGUGCCUCCAAUAACCCAAAAGCCUCCAACCAGGCUUACAUCUUAAAGGCCCCAACACCUCCCAAUAGCACUACAAUGAAGCAACCCUUAAUACGCGGACAGUUGUGGAUACUUAAGAUCCACAAAUGAAAUCAUAAUGUCAUACAAAUAAAGAAUUAUUGUAUGUCAGAAAUAUUAUUUAGGGCUAGGGUUGUGGCCUCAGUACCACAUAAAAAUAUAUAAAUAAAGUAAAAAUAUUGUGUCCUUCUACAGCCAAAAAUUUAAAAAAUUUAUUGAAUUUAUUAAUUAGUGAAAGAAUCUAAUACAAUGUUACAACUGUUUUGAGGUAAAAUUCUAAUACCACACAUAUUGAUAAGGAUUACAAUUAGAUAUAGAUCUAUUAUAUCUACCAAACAACCACUAAUUACAUUCCAUCAGACAUUAUUCUUUUGCAUUUUCUAGAUAAUUAAUUAUAAAUGUCCUCUGACUUAUAGAAUUGAAAAUUAGCUCAAAGACAACAGUAUGUUGACAUAACCUGAAAGAGUGAAAUAUAUCAGAUACUAUUAAUAAUUUUUCUGUGUUUCAAAUGUUUUAUAAUUUUUCAUGCUAAAGCUAUCUAAUAUAAAUGCUUUCUGCUUAAAGGGGUUGUAAGUGAAGGAAGUGAGAAUUAAGAUAAUCAAAACAUGGAGUCAAGUUGAAUAAAGCAAAGACAUUUAUUCUAGAAACCUAUCUCUAUAAUCCCAUGGAAUUGGUUAAAUCUAAAAUGAAGCUAUAUAAAAAAUAUUCAGAAGGGCCUCCUUAAAUUAUUUUUCAAUUAGACUUUUUCUAAAAUAAAAUACCUUAUUUAUUUUUCAUUCAUUCACUGAUUAAAUUAUCUAUUUAUUAUAUAUUCACUGAGAAAUUCCUUUACAUGCAUGAGGAGAGGCCUAAUGCAGGAAUUGCCUUCUAGAAUUACCACUGAUUCAUAUCAGAUCUGAAUGCAAUCUAAAAAGAAGAAAAAAAUAAUACCAGUUAUAUUAUCUGAUUAUAUUUGAAUCUGAAUUAGUAAUUUUUCUUAGAAUUUACCGAGGAAUAUGUACUUCUUGAUCUGGAACUAUUUUAGGUAGCAGUUUGCUAUGAUGAAAUGUGUGUGUGUGUGUGUGUGUGUUUCUUUAUGCUGAACUGAGUUGUUAUUGGUGCAGUUUUAUGACUUUUAUGUCACAUUUGAACAUUCUGAGAACAUUUCUGCUGUCACUCAAAUUCUGACCUGAUUCUAUUCAGUUCAUCUGGUAGGCUAACUUGGAUGUUCCACACUUAUUCAUUCCUAGCUUAAAAAUAACCAUAAAUUGCUUCAGUGUUGGUGACCCCAUAAAGUUGUUGAUGACUUUUUAUUUGAUGUGAGGCCCCAUAUGAUUAUUUUGACAACUUUUGGAAGUAACAAAAGUAACAUUUAGGAAGAAGCAGAUUUUUUAGUUAUGUAAAAGGUCAGUGUUGAUCAUUGCUCUUUUCAUCUUUAAGCUUAGUUUAGGACUCAAUCUUGUGAUUUCCCCCACAGAAUGAAGACAGUUAAUGAUUUGAAACUUCUCAUUAAAUUUUCUUUCCCUUAAAUACCCUAGUUAAUGGUGUCUGAAUUGUCCCAUCAUUGUCAUUUUUUAAUUAAUGCAAUGCACCAAAUAAAAAUUUCUCUGCCAAUAAGAAAAUAAACACUUUAGCCUUUAACACCUGCAUAAAAAUAGCAUAUUUAAUUAAUAAGGUCCUGAUAAAAUGGGACAUGGACCAGAUCAAAUUUGAUUGGUUUCAAGGAAAAAGAGAAGAAGAAAGAAAAGAGAAAAUAAGAAGACACUUUAAGAACUGACCUAGUAAACAAUUUCAUGCAGUAAGGAAACCAAGGACAACACUUCCAGGUAAAGGGAUUAGUCUUAGUCCAUUUGGACUGCCAGAGCAAAUAUAAAACACUUGGUGACUAAUAAAGAAAAGAAAUUUAUUUCUCAUAGUUCUGGGGUUGAGAAGUCUAAGAUUAACAUUUUGUCAGAUUUGGUGUCUGGUUAAGGGUUUUUUUUUUUCUUUUCGUAUAGGUGGCAUCUUCUCAUUUAGCUCUCACAUGGUAGAAAGAAAAAAGCAGCUCUCUGGGGUCUCUUUUGGAAAGGCACUAAUCAUAUUCUUGAAGGCUCUUUAUCAUGACCUAAUCACCUCCCCACAGUCCCCACCUCCAAAUACCAUUACCCUGGAGCUCAGCAUUUCAACACAUGCAUUUUGGAAAGAAAUGAACAUAAGAGAAAUAUCAAAAUGAAGAAGAAAGAAACUGCAAAACUUUUGUCCUAUGUUAGCCAUUUUUGUUGUUGUUGUUGCUCCUGUAACCAAAAUACCUGAUAAGAACAACUUAAGGAGGAAAAAUUCAUUUUGACUCAUGAUUUCAGAGGUCUCACUCCAUGGCCAGCCAACUCUCUUGAUCUUAGCCUUAGGUGAAGUAGAGGAUCAUGGCGGAAGGGCCUGGUGGAGAAAAGCUGCUCACCCCAUGGCAACCAGGAAGGCAUGCCCCCAAUGCCCUAAUUCCUUCAGCCACCAUCCUGCCUCCUGCAGUGACUACACAGUAGCCCUUUCAUAUUAUUAAUGCAUCACAUGGUUUACUCAUCUGAUGGGUUUUAACCAUCAAAUCCAGUAUUUUCCACCUUUGAACAUUGUUGCAUUACCUAACUCACGAGAUUUGGGCGGGGGUGGGGGUGGGGAAGGGGAGGUGGGGGUGGUAUUCCAGAUCCAAACCAUAGUAGUCCUUGACUUAGGGCUUCUUGUAUUGAUGCCACUUUUUCUUCUAUUCUUCAAAAUGAUCAAAAUCUCUAUGGGAACACUUAUUCAAACUCUAUUGCUCACAGUUUAAUCAAUGGUGAAAAUGCUCAUUUAUAAGGAAUGAAUCAACCGUGUUUCAAAGAAACACAAAUUGAAUAUUUGUGUCAGUAAUCGGGAUUCACACUUUAAUAUAUGCUUUGCAAUAAUGUCAAAGAAAAUUUGCACAGCACAGAUUGAAUAGGUAAAGAAGACUUUAUUUAAGAAUAUUGCAAUAAGGGAGAGAGUUUGAACCCAAUUCUGUUGAAACAAAAGUUGGGGGAGUUUUAGUACUGGAGUGAGGUAGUAGAAAGUCAAUGGAAGAAAAAUUAGGGGAAAUGAUGCGGAUAUUAUUAAGCCAUGGUUCUGGCUAAUAUACAGUUAUUGAAAUUAGGAUCCUGCCCUACUCUUAUCCCGUAAUUAAUGACAAUUAAGAAGAUUUUCUUUAUGGAUAACUACAAUUCAAAGGGAUGGUUUCCAGGUUUUGAGGAAAACAUUUUUGCUUUGUAAAACUAUCAACAAUUUAAGAAUAUUUACAUCUUAAAUUAGCAGAGAACAACUUCAUAAUUACAAGUUUUCUAAAGUAAAUGCUGUCAAAACAAGAUGGGAGGGAGUUAAGGGUCUACAGUUAGAAAUGUCUCUAAAAUUUACUCCAGCUUAAGGGAAUGUUAAAGUCUUCUUUCAUAAUGGACUAAAUUCCUUUAAGCUUUUCUCUCUUAAAAGAAAGACAAAUGCCAUAUGUUCUCGCUAGUAUGUGGAAGCCAAAAAAAAAAAAAAAAAAGAUUGAUUGCAUAGAAGCAGAGAGAAUAGUGGUCUCCAGAGGUUACAAAGGUGGGAGGAAGGGAAGAUAGAGGGAGGUUGGAUAAUGGGUACCAAAAUGUAGUUACACAGAAGGAAUAAGUUUAUAACGACUUAAAUAGUUCACAGUGAACAAGAACAGAAGAUAUUGAAUUUUCCCAACAUGAAGAACAAUAAGUGUUUGAGAUGAUGGACAUUCCAAUUACCCUGCUCUCAUCAUUACAUAUCGCAUUUAUGUACAUGAAUCAUCACAUUGUACCCUGUAAAUAUGUAUAGUAACGAUAUGUCAAUGUAAAAAUACAUAUGGUUUGUGAAGCUUUCUUAGGAGAGGGUGCUGGAGGGCCACUGCAGGAAGAAGACUUCUUCCAUGGAGUGUUGGUGUGAUGCACUGGUUUAGUUAUUAUGGAUGUGAGGAUGUCGGAUAGAAAUGUGGGAGCCACAUGCCCAGAAUGCACAUCUCAUUGGUGUUGUAGCCCCAGAGUGUCCUGUGAAUCCCCUUCCUCAGACCUCCCCAUAUAGAAUGCUGUGUUCUAUGUUUCCAGCCCUCACUGGAGCCCCUACUUCUGAAGCACACUGACACCUGACACCUUGACCACAAGCUGUUACUUAAUCCUCCUGCCUGCUUCCUGGAGUGUUGCUUCCUAUCUGCUCCUUAACAGCAGAGCACCUCUGCCCUGGCAAACCAGAAAACUGUUCUGCCAUUCAUGGGUCCAGCAAAACUUUCUCUGAUGAAAUUUAUAUCCUAGACAUAGAGAGAGUUCCCCUUUCCAUGGGUGCCCUUUCUUAUCCUUCGGUCCUAGGAUCCUUUAGUUCAAGUUUCUUUAUACCUUCCUGUUACUCUUUUAUCCAUUUAUUCUUCCUAUUAACGGUCCCAAUUAAAUCACUGAGUUAUUCUAAUGGACUUGACCCAGGAUGCUACAAUAUUCCUCAUCAUUUUAUUGUUUCCCUGGUGAUUCUCAAGUGUUGGUCUUGUGUUUGCUUUCAGUCACUGUAACAAAAUACCUGAGAGUAUUUAUAAGGAGAAAAGGUUUACUUUGGCUCACAGUUUCAAAGCUUUCAAUUUAUGGUUGCUUAGCUCUAUUGCUCUAGGCCACAGGAGUGUGGUGGUGGACUGUGUCCCUCACAGCAGCUAAGAAAGCAAACUAAGGGACAAAGAGGAGCUAGAGUCCCAAUAUCCCCUUCAAGUGGACUAACUUCCAUCUUCUAGAUCCUCACAUUCCAAUAGCACCAGAGCCCAGACCAAGCCUUCAACACGUGGGCUUUUGGGGGACAGUCAAGAUCCAAACUAUAACAUUUAAACCUAUGCCAAAUUCUUUCAUAUGGAGAGGCUUAAGGCAGGGUGUCCAUAAAUUUCCUGGUUUUCAUGUAUGGUUUUGGACUAGAGGACCAUAGCAUUCCACAUGUUCUCAAAGAUUUCAAUGACCAAAGAAAAGAUUAAGAAUAAUUUUUCCACUCUGUAAAGUGAGCCUCAAACUGGCUUGCAUUUUAGAAUCACUUGUGCAUUAAAAAAUGUCCCUUUGCCUAGGCUCCACCCCAGACCAGUGAAAUUGGGAACGGAACACAGGUAUUUUAAAAAGUGAUUCUAAUAUGCAGCCAGGGCUGAGAAACACUGUUUCAGGGGCUCACAGACAUUCCCGUUUCCUGGGAUCUUCACUUUCUCUUAAUCACUGCUUUAUUAUUCCUACUUGAAAUGAGAAGACUUUCCGGCAGAAAGUUGGCCCCUCGAUGGCAUCACAAGUUCUCUGAAGACAAUUUAGCAUUUCACUUUUUAAACUGAUUUUCUGUGUAAUGCCUUCAACAUAAAAUGAUCGUACAUUAAUAAUCACUCAUGAAUGGUAUCACAUAUGAGCUAUAAAGGAACAUUCAAUUUGCCCUGCAGCAGGUAAAUAAUGCCCUCCUGAGCGGGAGAGAAAAUUUCUCCAGAUAAAAUGACCUUUCAAGUGGUAGAAAAUGACCUUUUGGAGAAAAUUUCUUCAACACUGUUUAGAGGGCUCAUUUAGAAAAUGCCACCAAACCACUGAGUAAAGGCAUGUUCUGAACAAAAUUAUUUUAUAUUUAGUUUGAACUUUAUACAAGCAAUUUGGCUGUUCCCGAUAUAGCAUGCAGUGAGAAGGAAAGAGAACUUAACACCAUUCUUUCUAAGCAUUGAAGUAAAACUGACUAAACAUGCCACAUCUAAGUGUCAAUUUACUUUUUCAGCUAGUAUCAUAAGUUUCUUUAUUUUUAUCACAAAGAUAUUCAAAUGUAUUUUUAUAGAAAGCCUGAGACAUGAUGCAGCAUAAUUAUGUCCUAUAAAUAAAAGAGAAAAUAGAAUAUAUUGUUGUACUUAUUUUGUAUUAUUUUUCUCAUUUUCUACAGAUAUCCUUAAUGGUUUUUGCUGUUGUUGUUGUUUUUGGUAUGGGGGAUUGAACUCAGGGGCACUCCACCACUGAGCCACCUCUCCAGCCCUAUUUUGUAUUUUAUUUAGAAACAGAGUCUCACUGAGUUGCUUAGUGCCUCACUUUUUGCUGAGGCUGGCUUAUGAACUCGUAAUUCUCCUGCUUCAGUCUCCCCAACCACUGGGAUUACAGGCAUGUGCCAUUGCGCCGGGCAUCCUUAAUGUUUUAUAAAGUGAUAUGUGAAUUGUCUGGGCUUCUGAGUUCCUGUAUAUUUGUAUUGGUAAUCUUAUUAAGUAAGAUGUCAGGUUCUUAACCUCCAGCUGAUUCCCUCAUCUUGUCUGAUAGUCUUGGUCAAACAAAAUGGUUCUUUUAUUAUGGAUCUAAAAGUCAGCAUUAUAUUCUGUGAAACAUAACCAGGAAAUUAUUUCAAAGUGUCUAAUUGAUUGAGGAAGACCCCUUUCACCUGUGAAUUAAAUGAGGAUGUCGUAAAUCUGAGGAGUUUAGCUGAUGAAAAAUGAAUCAGGAUCAAGAGUGGAGGUAAUGUUUGUGUAAACAAAACUUCAACUGUAUGGAUUCAGCCUGAUUCAUGGUAAUUAUUUUUCUUUGUACGCUAUGGAGUCUAUAUUUUAGAAAAUACAAAGAGGACUUGAAGGCAUGUAAUAUGUAGGAGAAAAGUUAGAAGGAUUUAGCUUGCAAUUGACUUUAAUGCUACUGGUUAAAACAGAUUAAGAUACAUAUUACUCAUAGACUCUGAAAUCUGGGUUCUCUGAUAUACAUGGACGAGAAAAACUGAAAGGAGACAAAAUAAAUUCUGUAAGAGUACUUAGGAAAAGUCACAAUGUACAUUUUCUUAGAUAAUAUGUUAACUUCACUCAGUUUUAAGUUGCAUAAAAUUUGUUAGCAUAAUUUUACUAAAACUUACAUGAGAUGUUCAGGUGGGAUAUUAGGAGAGUAUUUUGGCAGGAAUAUAUUAAUGUUCUAAGGCUGCCAUAACAAAGUAGUAUAAACUGGUGACUUAAAACAACAGACGAUUAUUUAUUGACAGUUCUGGGAGCUAGAACUCCAAGAUCAAAGUGUCAGCAAGAUUGGUUCCUUUUACAUGUUCUGAGGGACAAUAUGUUCCACACUUUUCUCAAAGCUUCUGGUGAUUGCCAGCAGCAAUCCUUGGAAUUUUUUUCCCCAACAAAUGUAUCAUUCUAAUCUCUGCCUCCAUCAUCACAUAGCACUUUUAUGUGUUUUUGUGCCCAAAUAUAUUUUUUCUUUUUCAUAAGUAUACUCAUAUUGGAAUAAGCCCUACCCUAAUUUGGUAUAACUUUGAUUUAGGUUGAUUACAUUUCUAAAGACCCUAUUUCCAAAUAAUGUCACUCAUAGAUACAAGCUGUUAAGGCUUGAGCAUAUUGUUUAGGAUGACACAAUUCUACUCAUUACAGAAACUUCAAGAAGACUUAGAAUAUUCUAGAAUAUUCUUUUGUGGAUUUUAGUUAUUCAAAGACCUUAGGGCAAUUUAACUUUUCUAAUCCCUCAAAUUGCUAUUUAUUGCUGUGUACUGUAUUCCUAAUGUGUAUUUUAACUUCCAUAAGAUAUUCUUAUUUCUAUAGAGAGUAUUCAUUAAACUCAUUCAUGCAGGUAUAAUGAUCUUUUUGUUUUCUCUUGACUGCUUCCUGAAUCUUCCAUAUGUGUGUGUGUGUGUGUGAGUGAGAGAGAGAGAGAGAGAGAGAGAGAGAGAGAGAGAGAGAGAGGCAGUAUUUGUGUGUUUGGGGAUGUAUGUCUUGAAAAUUUGCAUGUAAUCUUUCCUCUCAAAGAGAUUAUUUGAUGGACUAGGUACCUUUUCAUUGUCUACUCUAAGAACAUGGUUCUAUGAUAAAUUCAUUUAAUAUCUUCAGAUAAAAAGGUCAUUAUUUUUCAAAUUUUCCAUUUAUAAAAUGUUAUUGGGGCUGGGGAUAUGGCUCAAGCGGUAGUGCGCUUGCUUGGCAUGAGCAGGGCACUGGGUUCAAUCCUCAGUACCACAUAAAAAAUUUAAAAAAAAUAAAGAUGUUGUGUCUACAGAAAACUAAAAAAUAAAUAUUAAAAAAAUUCUCUCUCUCUCUCUUUAAAAAAAAAAAAGUUAUAUCUUUAAUUCUGUCCUGAUGCAUAAAAUGCAUUUUUAGUCACUGUGGAAAUGGAAAGAGAAUUUGGAGAGUUUAAUCUCCAGUUUCUUUAUGUACAAGGGAAAAUACACAUUCCCAGUUUCUUUUUGGGAAGUUGAUUAAACAGUCUUUCUCCUUCUCUCUGUGUUGCUCUGUCUCUGUCUCUUUCUCUUUGUGUUGGGGAUUGAACUGGAGGCACUUUCCCACUAAGCUACAAACCUCCAGCUCAUUUUAUUUUUUAUUUUGAGAGAGGGUCUUGCUAAAUUGCUGAAGCUGGCCUCAAACUCUCAAUCCUCUUGCCUCAACCUCCUGAGUUGCUGGGAUUACAGGUGUGUGCCAUUUCACUUGGCUCAUUAGACAAUCUCAUUGAGGCCCCUCUGACAGUAUAUCUAUAUAAUGUGAAUUAUGGAUAAAAAAGCAUUUUUAUGUAUAGGGAUUUAUUCUAAGAAAUUAAAAAAUAUAUGCAACAUACACACUACUUAUUGAAGUAUUAUUUAUAACAAUAAAAACCUUAGAAUUUAUUUAAGGAGCUGUAAGGACAAAUUGUACCUCAAUAGAAAAUUAUGUACUAUCUAUAGCAUAACCUCUAGCAUUAUCUUAUUGCAGGGGAGGUUUUUUCAACUUCAUAAAUUGCAGAUAUCUCAGAGAAAUGCAAAUAAUUCUUUUCUAUAGGCAUGUAAAUUUUGCCCUCUUGAGUUUCAGUUGACUCCUUUCCCACAUCAUGAAAGAAACUAGUUUUGUCCCAAUUUGCACAUUCAUUUCAUUAUUCUUGCUCUCCAAAUCUCUCAUGCUUUUGAUUCUCUUUUGAAGUGGUUUUGAUACCUUAGCAGUUUCCUCCUUAUUGGGUUAAAUAAAAUUCUUAUCACAAGUUUAUUAUUAAAUCUGAGACAUGAUUUUACCUAAUUUUUGAAAACUAUUGUUUAACAUGACUUAUAAUAGGAGAAUGGCUCAAAUAUUCAUGCUGGGGAACACUGCACUCAUUAAAAUUACCAUGCAGAUGCAUUUGAUAACAUAGAUGUGCCUAGCAAAAUCCUUAAGAAUCACAGAUCCACCACUAAUUGGUGGUGUGAACUUUUGCUUCAAUUAUCUCCUGUAAAACAGAGAUAAUGAUAGUACCUACUUCAUAGUUGCAGUAUGUAAACUAUUGUAUCCAACACCCUUGGAAGAGUGCCUGCACACAAUAUAGAAAGUGCACUGUAGAACAUCUUAUUACAUUCUAAAAAGAUUUUAAAAAGCACAAUUUUACGAUUUUAUUGUUUUAUUCUGUGUAUAUAUUAGUCUAUACUAAAAGAAAUAGACCAAUAUUAUAUAUAUAUAUUUGUAGAUGGACACAAUACCUUUAAUUUAUUCAUUUAUUUUAUAUAGUGCUGAGGAUCAAACCCAGUGCCUCACACAUGCUAGGCAAGCGCUCCACCACUGAGCCACAACCCCAGCUCAACAUUUUAUUUUUAACACGGAAAUCCUUUUUAGUCUUUUUAAAAAUUUCACUUUCAAUUGCUUUUAUUAGAAAGGACAUGUUAAUUUCAUAAGAAAUGUGAAAAUUAAUUUUAAAAUGUCACAAUUAUUUUGUGAGCCAUUUAAAUAAAUGUAAUAGAGAAAAGGCAAAAAAAAAAAAAAAAUCUCUGCAAGAAGGAAAGGCAUAUUUAGGUUCCUUGUUUUCAGAUGGUUUCCCUUUGUUUACCAGCUUCUGGCUAUGUCCUGGAAUAGCCUGUAUAAGAUUGUCAGCAGCCAUGCAUAUGAAUGAAAAAAAGGAGAAAAAGAUAACAAAGUCACUGCUUCGUUUAUGAAAAACAGAAGCCUGCAUAUGGGCAGAUGGUGCCUUAUCCCUAAUUUGCAGAGCAUGUACAUCUGGUGGUUCUGCCCAUAUUAUAAAACUUGUGGUUGGGAUGAGUUAGAGCGGCCUGUUUACUUGAGAAGUUGUCAUAAAAACAAGACAGUCAGACCUCAUCCAAAUGGUGCUUCUUCAUCAUCCUCUUUUUUUUCUAUACCAGCAAUAAAAAUUAUGCUCUCUUUCAUUGUUUUUAUCAAAAUUUGGAAGACAGAAGCUUAAAUUGGUAGUCAGUAACAGUGAUGCUACUAUGAGAACUAAAUAACACAACCUUCUCAGUCACUGAGGCUCUGAACUCAUUAAUGAUUUAAGAACUACUUUAUCACAGUCACUUAUUAAUUAUGAUGCUGUUUUCUUAGAUAUUUUCUCAGCAACUACAUGGUAUGAUUUUAUCAUGAUUGUCCCCAGUUGGCUGCCUUUUCUGAUAGCUAUGCUUAUCAAAAUACCCACCCAUUCUGUUGUGUCUUCAAAAAAUAAAAACCUAGAAAUGUACAGAGUAUUAACUGGAGGCACAUUCAGUAGAAAAGAGGGAACUUAAAGUUAUGAGAUAGAACAGACUACACUAAUAUAACUACACUAAUAAUAAGGACAAGGUCUGAUAAUUGGAAUCAUGAAGAUUAGGAGAUAAUUUCUGAUCUUUGGUACAAAUUCAAUAAAGAGAGGAAAACACAUGAAAGAUCAAUACCCUGCAGGAUGAGAUAGAGCUUCCCAGCUUACUAUUGUGUCUAUAUGUAUGUUAUGGAAGAAAAGAUUGUUUGGUAAAUAUUUGUUUAAAAUAAUCAUUUUUGACCUCUCUGCUAGGUGUUUUCAAAGUAUUAGAAAUUGAAGCAGCUUUUAUUCUUUAUCCAUUAAUAACCAAUGCUCAGCCUUACGACAUACAGAUUUAAAAUGGUGUAUGUAACUGAGUCUCCAUUUCCCAAGGUAUCUUCUCAGUACUUACUGAGUCCAAGACAUUUGGAAACAACCAAGAAAUCUUACAUCUUGCACUGUUACCUUAAGUGCUUCUGCAAGUCAAUAUUACUGGCCAUUUUGGUGAGAAUAUUAUAAAAAUAAUACCUUUUAUUAUUAUAGAUAUUAUUAUAAAAUAUCACAAAAUGAAUGUUAUAAAAUAACUUUUAUACAAAAGAUUUGUUUCAAUAAAAACUACCAUCUGUAACAUACCCUUUGAGCUUUGUUAUUCUAGCCCUUGUUCACUGUCAUUAAGCAAUUGUCCAAUGCUUUGGAAGUACUAGUUAAAUGCAAUCCUGUCUGGGAGUAAGUUUAAUUCACUAGGUUUCUUUGGUUUAAAACAAAACAAAACAAACUUUUUCCAUAUUUGCAAUUCAUUUCAUCAUCCCUUUCCAUAAAUUUGUGCUGUUUGGUUUAGCUUUUGAAUUGGUUAUUAUGUCUGUCUUUCCCUUAUAUAUGUAAAUUAUUUAACACAUGUACAUUUUUAUAUUUGUAUAAAAGACAUGACUUUACUUUUUUAUUAAUAUCCUUUUCAAUUGAUAAGUCAUAAUUUAUACAUUUAUACAGUAUAAUGUUAUGUUUUAUAAUAUAUGUACAGUGCAGAAUGAUUAAAUCAAACUAAUAUAUCUGUCACAUUUCUGAUUUUUUUUUUGUGGUGAGACAUUUGAAAUUUAGUCUUUUAACUAUUUUGAAAUACUAUUAUAUAUAUACUAUUAACAUUAAUUUUAUAUAUAAUCACCUUGAUGUGCAGUAGUUCUCAAAAAUUUGCUUUUUAUGAAAAAUGACUUUUAGUAGUUUUGAAGAUUUUUGCCAUGAUACCUGAUUGUGUUUGCUCACCAGAUUUAGGUAAAGUCCAUUGCUACCCAGAUGAACCUCACAAUCAACCUUGGAUAAUUCUCACAUUUUUCUAACUUUCAUUCUCUAUUAAUUUUGUUCUUGUUUUUUUUUUUUUUCUGUUAAGUUAUUCCUCAUUGGAAAUUUCACUUUUUAGUUUGACCAUCUGAUGAUUUCUACAAAUGGAUUAAUGUUUUAUAGAGAUUUAUUCUUUGUUGGAAGAGAAGCAAUAGAGAAUCUCGUUUGUUAGUAUUUUUUUUUUAAUUGAGAAUUUGAUUUUAAGGCCAGAUCAUUUGUUGAUCUGUACAGACUAAUGGAUUAUAGAUAUCAUGUCUCUGUUUGGUGAGAAAUUUAAAAAAAACUGGUUGAUAGUUUUUUCUGUUUGUCUAUUUUGAACUUCAAACAUUCAUCUCUUGGGAAGAGAAUAACAAUUUUUCAAUAAUAAGAAUAUUGCAAUUCCACGUUUAUUCUUGCUCCAUGGCUGAAGUUUGUAUACUUAGGUUAUAAAUUCUCCCUACCUCUGUCUGUGGCUCUGCUAUGCAUUUGGAAUUCAGAAAAUCUUCAUGUCAUAUGGUGUGAGAUUGUAAUAAUUUCUACAUCACUGGCAUUCAUAAAUUAGAUUACAAAGUCUCUUAUAAGAUUUUCAGGUUGAUUGGAUAACAGAAACAAAUGCUUAUGUAAGUAGAAUUUUCUUAAAAUUUCCAGAAAGUAAGAAAAUUGAACUUCUAAUACUUCCAGUGUGACAGAUUAAAAAGUUAUGCUUACUGAAACUGACUUGAAAAUGUUUUAAAAAUUCACGUAUGUAUGAUUUAGGUGAAUCAUGGCAAAUGAAAUUAGUUUAGUAAUUUUCUUUCAAUAAAAAAUAGCAAAAUCUAUUCUGAUUUGUCCAUGAUAAAUAUGAGUAUAUUUCUAUUCUACCGGGUAUGUUCUUCCUAACUUUCUAUGGGUUUAUUUAUUUAAAUAAGUUAGCAUUAUUUCUACUUAAUGUUUGAGGUUAUAAAAAAUUCAAAUUUGAGUUUAACCAAGUGGAUUCAUUUUUUUCUGAUAAUUUAUGUCAGUAGUAAUUAGUUUUGUAAUAUGAGAAUUUAAAAUUUGUAUUUCUCAUCUAUCUAUCUAUCUAUCUAUAUAUUUUGGGUGUUGGGAAUGAAACCAGGGCAUCAUGCAUGCUAAGCGACUGCUCUGCCACUGAGCUAUACCUCUAGUCCUUAAAAUAAUUUUUAAGAUUUUUAGAUAAUUUAAAACUUUUUAUGAAUAUUAAACUAAAUUAAUGAAUUUAUAUACAUUAGAUAACUAGGUCAUUUCUAAGACCAAAGAUGAUUUCUAAACACAAAAACAUUGAUUACUCAGCAUAAUUUGAAAUUCAUUUGCUUUUGACAGAGAAUGUCUUUGGGGAUAUUGAUGAAUGUUCUGACUUUGGGACUAUGAGAAAUUUAAUAGAAAGAUCCUGUGUUCAUGAGCUGUGCUGAACCAUAAGGAUGCAAGGGUGUAAUAUUUAUGGGGGUCCAUCCUCCAGUUUUUUCUCAUAGAAGUUACUUUGGUUCAUAGCUAUAAAUGAUAUACUGGAAUGAGGCUACUAACAAGUACUAGUUUCAAAGAAAUGCACCUAUGUACAUGUAUUUUUCAAAGAAAAGAGUAGUUUUCUCCUAAAGAGUAUUUAUUGGGUCAUUUCUUUAGGCUAAUUGAGGAUUCAAAAGGGAUUUUGUGAGAAAUAAUAAUAUUUAUGGUGUUGUAAACUGAAACAAAAAUUUUAAAAUGCUUACUUAGUGAUUCAGUUAAAGAUAGCAAUGAUGAAUGCAUUCCUUUUAAUAACAUUCUAGUAAUAAUUCGAGACUAAUUUUUACUGUUUAUACUCUUUAAGAUUGGCUUUAAAGGGCCAGUUUGUUCCCAAAUAUGAAAGAACAACAGACAAAUUUUAAAAAUGGAUUUUGUUCGUCUUGUCUAGAUUUAUAAUACUUAAGUAUGAAAAGCUAUGAAAUAUUUUAAGCUCUAACUAAGGUUUCGAUGGACCGGUUUCCUUGUUUUUUUUUUCUAAUAAUCUGCAACAUUGACAAUUAUUCAUAAUUUUUCUGUGUAAUAUGUCUAGAUAAUAAGAGUUUGUGUCUUAUCAGAAUGACUUUCUAUGUUUUUGUUGGUUUUCUGCUGUCCUUGUCAAAGACAACUUUUUUCUUAUGUAGGAAAGAGUGUAGAUUUUUUCCAAUUAUACUACCUCUUAUGUUUCAUUUUCAAUUAUUAUCACUUUGAAAUGAGUGAGGAUAUUGUUUCUUAAGCAGCAUGACCCAAUUCCUAGCUUAAGUAUUAUAGUCUCCUGACAACUUUUGAUUUUUUUUUCCCUAAACCAAAUCUUAAAUACAAAAUAAAAUAUCUUUGGGAAUAUCUUGUACGUAAAACUAUCUUUGAGAUUCCAAGAGGACCUCUGAACAAUCACAAAGCUAUGUGUUCUUUCAUUCUACUUCAAAAAAGAAAAAAAAAAAGAGGUGCUAAAUAUAAUGAGAUUUAUUUGAUAUGUUACUGUUUUUCAGUGUCCACAAUGUCCAUGUAAUGUUUUUAUUUAUCAGUUUGGCACUGCUUUGCCUUGGUGUUAGAGGCCAAGGGUACAGCUGUUAAAAUGCUAAUGGGGUUGCAUCAUUACUUCCUUAAUUUGGAUAUAGCAUCUUCUAGGUCAGUAGUUUUCAACUGGGAAUUCAAAAUAGUUACAUCUGGAACUUCAAGAUGCGGAUGUUCAAACCUCCUACAGAUUUACUGAAUCUCUAUUUGAUUUCCUUGUGAUAUUCUUUGUAUGUCUUAAUAUGUGCUUGGGUGUACCAUGAUAUGUGUCAGGAUUGUUAUUUUUUACAUUAAGGUUUUACUCUGUAAAAAUAUGUUCCUCCAUUUUAUGAACUGACUUUAUUACUUGGGUUCCAUAGAAACAAUCAAAUUAUAAUCAGAUUUCUUUGUUAAUUGCAUUAUUGUUAAAGACUCUCAUUGGAUCUUUCUUUCACUUUUGAAAAUUGUCACGAAUAAGUUAGCUAUAACUCUUUUUAUUCUUUUGUCCUUUGGAGAGUUUUAUUUUGCUUCUUUACUCUGACACUUCUCUUAAAGUUUUGAAAUCAGCUUCAAGUCAAAAACUUUGUCUUUAACAAAGAAUGUGUCACAUAUAUACAUAUAGUAAUAAUGUCUGUUUCAUUCUACUAUCUUUUCUAUCCCACAUCCCCUCCACUCCCUUCCCAUCACUUCCCUCUACCUAAUCUAAGGUAACACUAUUCUUCCCUAGUGCCCCCCACCUUAUUGUGAAUUAGCAUCCACGUAUUAGAGAAAACAUUUGGCCUUUGGUUUUAUGGGAUUGGCGUAUUUUGCUUAGCAUGAUAUUCUCCAAUUCCAACCAUUUACUGCCAAAUGCCAUAAUUUCACUUUUCUUUAAAGCCGAGUAAAUAUUCCAUUGAGGUAUAUAUACCACAUUUUUUUUUAUCCAUUAAUCUAUUGAGGAACUCCUAGGUUGGUCCCAUAGUCUAGCUAUUGUGAAUUGAGCUUCAAUAAACAUUCACAUGGCUGCAUCACUAUAGUAUGCUGAUAUUAAAACCUUUUGGUAUAACCAAGGAGUAGAGUAGCUGGUUCAAAUGGUGGUUCCAUUCCAAGUUUUCUGAAGAAUCUCUAUACUGCUUUCCAUAGUGGUGGCACCAAUUUGCAUUCUCACCAGCAAUGUACGAAUGUACCUUUUUCAUGACAUCCUCACCAGCAUUUACUGUUUCCUAUAUUCUUGAUGAUUGCCAUUCUGACAAGAGUGAGAUUAAAUCUUAGAGUAGUUUUGAUUUGCAUUUCUCUAAUUGCUGGAGAUUUUGAACAUUUUUUCAUAUAUUUGUUGAUUAAUUGUAUUUCUUUUUCUGUGAAGUGUCUUUUCAGUUCAUUAGCCCAUUUAUUAAUUGGGUUAUUUAUUUUUUGAUGUUAAGUUUUUUGAGAUUUUAUAUACCAUAGAGAUUAAAGCUUUAUCCGAGGUCCAUGUGGUAAAGAUUUUCUCCAAUCUGUAGGCUCUCUCCUCAUGUUAUUAAUUGUUUUCUUUGUUGAGAAGAAGCUUUUUAAUCUGAUUCCAUCACAUUUAUUGAUUCUUGAUUUUACUUCUUGUGCUUUAGAAGUCUUAUUAAGGAAGUCAGAUCCUAGACCAACGUGGUAAAGAUUUGAGCCUAUUUUUUUUCUUCUAUUAGGCGCAGGGUCUCUGUUCUAGUGCUAAGUCUUUGAUCCACAUUGAGUUGAUUUUUGUGCAGGAUGAGAGAUAGAAGUUAAUUUCAUUUUUCUACAUAUAGAUUUCCAGUAUUGCCAGCACCAUUUGUUGAAUAGGCUGCCUUUUCUCCAGUUAAUGUUUUUGGCACCCUUGUCUAAUAUAAGAUAAGCCUAUUUAUGUGGGUUUGUCUCUGUGUUCUCUAUUCUGUAGCAUUGGUCUACAAGUUUAUUUUGGUGCCAAUACUGUGCCAUUUUUCUUACUAUAGCUCUGUAGUAAAGUUUAAGGUCUGGUAUUGUGAUGCCUCCUGCUUCACUUUUCUUGCUAAGGAUUGCUUUAGCUAUUGUGGGUCUCUUAUUUUUUCAAAUAAAUUUCAUGAUUGCUUUUUCUAUUUCUAUGAAGAAUGUAAUGGGGACUUUAAUAGAAAUUGCAUUAAAUCUAUAUAAUGCUUUUGGUAGUAUGGUCAUUUUAAUAAUAUUAAUUCUGCCUAUCCAGGAGCAUGGGGGAUCUUUCCAUCUUCUGAGGUUUUCUUCAAUUUCUUUCUUUAAUGUUCUGUAGUUUUCAUUGUAGAGGUCUUUUACCUCUUUUGUUAUAUUGAUUCCCAGGUUAUUUAUUUAUUUAUUUAUUUGGCUAUUAUGAAUAUAAUCAUCAGUUGUGUAAUAUGUAAUCUGUAGUAUAAAUUUAAUAAUAAUCUGCCCUUAAUUAUACUCAUAUAUAAUUGGGAAUGUUGCUUUUGCAGCCAGGACCUUGUCUGGAAUUUUAUACUUAAGGUUGAUGGCUAUUUAAUUAAAAAUGAUCAUAUACUUUCAAGGUAAAAAGAUUGACUUCAUUUAGCCAAUGAUUAUACAGCUCUCUUGGAAGAACUGGAAAGACCUUGCUUACAGGAUUUCCAGUCUAAUGAAGGUCUCUUUUGGGCAAUCUCAGGAAGCUUUGCAUAUUUGGGGGACUUUGAGAAGAAAAACAUUCACCCAAAGAAAUAGGUACUGCAGGCAAAAUCUGGCCCUAAGUUCUUGCCAUGGUUUCUGAGCCUCAAGAGGCUUUUAAAGGUCCUAUAUGAGAUUCCUUAUGAAAAUUUUCAGCAAAGUGAACCUAAGAAGGCCCAUAUGGCAAAUUAACACACUUGCUGCACCUAUGUAAAUAAUCAGGUCAAAUCUAAUGGGAUUCAUUCUUAUUUUGUGAUUAAAAAAUAAUUUUCUUUGAAAUUAUUUUUAAAUCAAGAGGGGGAAUAUUAGAGGAAAACUUCUUUAAACAGAACAUUAUUCAUAAUCUGUUGCAUGCCCUUCUGGAUAUAUCUGGAUAUAUCAUAUUCUGACCCUGUUUAUUGUCUUCAGCUCUUUUUAACUUCUUGCAAUUUGUUAUUGAUAAUGAUGUAAAUUCUAUUCUGUCUAUAAAGAAUUUUAAUUAAUUUCUUUCCUCUGUGAACAAAAACAGUUCUGUUUCCAUUUUAAUUCAUUUCAACAUUCCCUUAUUUCCUAUAAAUGUGUACUGUUUUGAUUUUUACUUUGGACUGGUGAUAAUAUCUAACCUGGUUCCCUCAUAUCCUAUGAGUAAAAUAAAUUAUUUAUCAGUAUAUAUAUAUAUGUGUGUGUGUGUGUGUGUGUGUGUGUGCGUAUGUGUGCGUGUCAAGAUUUUAUCCUUUUUCCUGAAAAUGAUCUUUUAACACUUUUUUCCCAAUGAUAUUAACAGUGAAAAUUAUAUGACUUAAGAGUCUAUGGUGGGCUGAGUGCAGUACACACCUGUGAUCCCAGCAGCUAGGAAGGCUGAGGCAGAAAAAUUGCAAGUUCAAAGGCAGUCUCAGCAACUUAUCAAGACCCUCUAUCAAAACAAAUGAUAAAAAAAAGGCUGUGUAUGUGGCUCAGUGAUUAUGUGCUCCUAAAUUCAAUCCCCAGUAUCCCCCAAAAUGAGUGUAUGGUGGUUCUAAAAGACUACUAUGUGUAUUAUAAUCCUAUUAACAAUGUAAAAAUAUAUUUUAAUGUGUCAUAUUCUUAAAAUAGUUGUAAACUGUACCUAUUAGCUGACUGAGAGAUAAAAGCAAAUAAAUGUGUCUUUUUUCCCAUAUUGUAAUUCAGAAGUAAAUGAUAAGUCCACUUUUCACCUUAUUAGAGAAGUAAGCAAAGUUGUCUAAAUUUCACUCUGGGUCAGUAAAGUUAUAAAUUGGAGGUUAAAAAUAAAUAAAUAAGUAAAUCUUGGAUUCAGACCAGUUUUUUUUUUUUUAAUUUUUUAUUGUGGGUUGUUCAAAACAUUACAAAUUUCUUGACAUAUCAUAUUCCACACUUUGAUUCAAGUGGGUUAUGAACUCCCACCUUCACCCCAUACACAGAUUGCAGAAUCACAUCAGUUACACAUCCAUUGAUUUACAUAUUGCCAUACUAGUGUCUGUUGUGCUCCGCUGCCUUUCCCAUCCUCCACUCUCCCCCCUCCCCACCUCUCCCCUCCCCUCCCCUCCUCUCUCUCUACCCCCUCCACUGUAUAACCCUGAGGGUCUCCUUCCAUUACCAUGCAAUUUCCCUUCUCUCUCCCUUUCCCUCCCACCUCUCAUCCCUGUUAAAUGUUAAUCUUCUUCUCCUGCUCUUCGUCCCUACUCUGAUCUUAGUUACUCUCCUUAUAUCAAAGAAGACAUUUGGCAUUUGUUUUUUAGGGAUUGGCUAGCUUCACUUAGCAUAAUCUGCUCUAAUGCCAUCCAUUUCCCUGCAAAUUCCAUGAUUUUGUCAUUUUUUAGUGCUGCGUAAUACUCCAUUGUGUAUAAAUGCCACAUUUUUUUUAUCCAUUCGUCUAUUGAAGGGCAUCUAGGUUGGUUCCACAGUCUUGCUAUUGUGAACUGUGCUGCUAUGAACAUCGAUGUAGCAGUGUCCCUGUAGCAUGCUCUUUUUAGGUCUUUAGGGAAUAGACCAAGAAGGGGAAUAGCUGGGUCAAAUGGUGGCUCCAUUCCCAGCUUUCCAAGAAAUCUCCAUACUGCUUUCCAAAUUGGCUGCACCAAUCUGCAGUCCCACCAGCAAUGUACAAGUGUACCCUUUUCCCCACAUCCUCGCCAGCACUUGUUGUUGUUUGACUUCAUAAUGGCUGCCAAUCUUACUGGAGUGAGAUGGUAUCUUAGGGUGGUUUUGAUUUGCAUUUCUCUGACAGCUAGAGAUGUUGAGCAUUUUUUCAUGUACUUGUUGAUUGACUGUAUGUCCUCCUCUGAGAAGUGUCUGUUCCGGUCCUUGGCCCNNNNNNNNNNNNNNNNNNNNNNNNNNNNNNNNNNNNNNNNNNNNNNNNNNNNNNNNNNNNNNNNNNNNNNNNNNNNNNNNNNNNNNNNNNNNNNNNNNNNNNNNNNNNNNNNNNNNNNNNNNNNNNNNNNNNNNNNNNNNNNNNNNNNNNNNNNNNNNNNNNNNNNNNNNNNNNNNNNNNNNNNNNNNNNNNNNNNNNNNNNNNNNNNNNNNNNNNNNNNNNNNNNNNNNNNNNNNNNNNNNNNNNNNNNNNNNNNNNNNNNNNNNNNNNNNNNNNNNNNNNNNNNNNNNNNNNNNNNNNNNNNNNNNNNNNNNNNNNNNNNNNNNNNNNNNNNNNNNNNNNNNNNNNNNNNNNNNNNNNNNNNNNNNNNNNNNNNNNNNNNNNNNNNNNNNNNNNNNNNNNNNNNNNNNNNNNNNNNNNNNNNNNNNNNNNNNNNNNNNNNNNNNNNNNNNNNNNNNNNNNNNNNNNNNNNNNNNNNNNNNNNNNNNNNNNNNNNNNNNNNNNNNNNNNNNNNNNNNNNNNNNNNNNNNNNNNNNNNNNNNNNNNNNNNNNNNNNNNNNNNNNNNNNNNNNNNNNNNNNNNNNNNNNNNNNNNNNNNNNNNNNNNNNNNNNNNNNNNNNNNNNNNNNNNNNNNNNNNNNNNNNNNNNNNNNNNNNNNNNNNNNNNNNNNNNNNNNNNNNNNNNNNNNNNNNNNNNNNNNNNNNNNNNNNNNNNNNNNNNNNNNNNNNNNNNNNNNNNNNNNNNNNNNNNNNNNNNNNNNNNNNNNNNNNNNNNNNNNNNNNNNNNNNNNNNNNNNNNNNNNNNNNNNNNNNNNNNNNNNNNNNNNNNNNNNNNNNNNNNNNNNNNNNNNNNNNNNNNNNNNNNNNNNNNNNNNNNNNNNNNNNNNNNNNNNNNNNNNNNNNNNNNNNNNNNNNNNNNNNNNNNNNNNNNNNNNNNNNNNNNNNNNNNNNNNNNNNNNNNNNNNNNNNNNNNNNNNNNNNNNNNNNNNNNNNNNNNNNNNNNNNNNNNNNNNNNNNNNNNNNNNNNNNNNNNNNNNNNNNNNNNNNNNNNNNNNNNNNNNNNNNNNNNNNNNNNNNNNNNNNNNNNNNNNNNNNNNNNNNNNNNNNNNNNNNNNNNNNNNNNNNNNNNNNNNNNNNNNNNNNNNNNNNNNNNNNNNNNNNNNNNNNNNNNNNNNNNNNNNNNNNNNNNNNGGGUGGACCAAUGGUACAGAAUAGAGGACACAGAGACUAAUCCACAAAGUUACAACUAUCUUAUAUUUGAUAAAGGGGCUAAAAGCAUGCAAUGGAGGAAGGAUAGCAUCUUCAACAAAUGGUGCUGGGAAAACUGGAAAUCCAUAUGCAACAAAAUGAAACUGAAUCCCUUUCUCUCGCCAUGCACAAAAGUUAACUCAAAAUGGAUCAAGGAGCUUGAUAUCAAAUCAGAGACUCUGCGUCUGAUAGAAGAAAAAGUUGGCUCCGAUCUACAUAUUGUGGGGUCGGGCUCCAAAUUCCUUAAUAGGACACCCAUAGCACAAGAGUUAAUAACAAGAAUCAACAAAUGGGACUUACUUAAACUAAAAAGUUUUUUCUCAGCAAGAGAAACAAUAAGAGAGGUAAAUAGGGAGCCUACAUCAUGGGAACAAAUUUUUACUCCUCACACUUCAGAUAGAGCCCUAAUAUCCAGAGUAUACAAAGAACUCAAAAAAUUAAACAAUAAGAUAACAAAUAACCCAAUCAACAAAUGGGCCAAGGACCUGAACAGACACUUCUCAGAGGAGGACAUACAAUCAAUCAACAAGUACAUGAAAAAAUGCUCACCAUCUCUAGCAGUCAGAGAAAUGCAAAUCAAAACCACCCUAAGAUACCAUCUCACUCCAGUAAGAUUGGCAGCCAUUAUGAAGUCAAACAACAACAAGUGCUGGCGAGGAUGUGGGGAAAAGGGUACUCUUGUACAUUGCUGGUGGGACUGCAAAUUGGUGCGGCCAAUUUGGAAAGCAGUAUGGAGAUUCCUGGGAAAGCUGGGAAUGGAACCACCAUUUGACCCAGCUAUUGCCCUUCUCGGACUAUUCCCUGAAGACCUUAAAAGAGCGUACUGCAGGGAUACUGCCACAUUGAUGUUCAUAGCAGCACUAUUCACAAUAGCUAGACUGUGGAACCAACCCAGAUGCCCUUCAAUAGAUGAAUAGAUAAAAAAAAUGUGGCAUUUAUACACAAUGUAGUAUUAUGCAGCACUAAAAAAUGACAAAAUCAUGGAAUUUGCAGGGAAAUGGAUGGCUUUAGAGCAGAUUAUGCUAAGUGAAGCUAGCCAAUCCCUAAAAAACAAAUGCCAAAUGUCUUUUUUGAUAUAAUGAGAGCAACUACGAACAGAGCAGGGAGGAAGAGUAGGAGGAAAAGAUCAACUUUAAACAGAGACAUGAGGUGGGAGGGAAAGGGAGAGAAAAGGGAAAUUGCAUGGAAAUGGAAGGAGACCCUCAUUGUUAUACAAAAUUACAUAUAAGAGGUUGUGAGGGGGAAGGGGAAAAAAACAAGGGAAAGAAUUAAAUUACAACAGAUGGGGUAGAGAGAGAAGAUGGGAGGGGAGGGGAGGGGGGAUAGUAGAGGAUAGGAAAUGUAGCAGAAUACAACAGUUACUAAUAUGGCAUUAUGUAA
This 44445-nucleotide long non-coding RNA is filed under the name Marmota monax (woodchuck). Lineage: Eukaryota; Metazoa; Chordata; Mammalia; Rodentia; Sciuridae. The record is from RNAcentral.